AACAUUUGUUGCUCUUAUUCUGUAGCUGAAGCAUAGAGUGCAUGAGCUCCUUAAUUUGCAGAUGGCUAAGAUAAUAACUAUAGACGACGACAACGACAACAACAACAAACAAGAGAAGUAAAAGGUACAACAUUCUUGGGUUUCAUCAAACUUGUGAAGAAACUUCAUGUUAAAGUAUGAAUGUUGAGAUCUUCACAAGCCUGAGUAUCUCUUUGGCCACACUUCAAAAAGGAAAUUAAGCAAAAGCUUGAUUGAAUGGUCUUCACUACUGCCCUGUAAUUUGAGGGGUCAGAAGCUGAACAUUGAAUCUUCCAUGAAGGUGGUUGUUGGUUUUUUUGAGUGGAGUAUUCUUCUUCUGACCAAUAUUGGACCUUGAAGAAACAAUAUAUGCUUGUUUCUUGGCCCUCAAACUUUCUAGUGUAUCUAACCCUGACAUAAAAUUUGUUGUAACCAUGAUUAUCUCAAAUCCAUUGUUCAGAAAUGAUUUCUUUGCUUUAAGGAUUUAUUGUUAAUCCUUGUGCCAUUGCUUGUCAAUUUCUAGGCAAAAUAGUAUGAAUAUAUAUAUAUAUAUAUAUAUAUAUUAGAUACCAUACAAAUAUGUCAAAUUCAGUUAUGAUUUCACCUAGUAUUCAUGACAUGUAAAUUUAAAAGGAAAAAGGUGAUAGUAGGAUAUUUCAUCUAAUUCCUGCUCUUUUCUUUUGCUAUUGUGCAGUUGAAGUGUUAGUGCUUGAGAAGGGUAAAGACUUAGAUUUUCUGGUACUUGUAUGUUGGCAUAUUUUAUUAUAGAAGAUGGAUGCUAAAGCCUAAACUCUAAAGGGAAUAUAAGCAGAGGGGUAUAGAGGGAAUUUAAGUAUACCUUGGUACUAUUUAGUGGCUUAGUAGAAAUUUAUAAGGUACCCUCUAUCUCUUGAAAGGUUGUAUGACCUGCUUAGUUUGUGUACUAAUUAAGACUCGAGUAUUACACUUUGACAUGUUGUCAACCUUUGUUUACUUUCCAUAUUUCAUGUCUAUUAUCCUGUAAGAUAGGCUUCCAAGUUUAUUUGACAUAUGUAUUGAUAAUCUAUUCUCUUAACUCAAUUAUAUUUUCAACUAUUCUUGAGUUUGAGUAAGUUAAGUAGAAAUCAAUUGGGUUUUAAAGUUGCACAAACUAAUGGGCUAUUUCCAGGAAAAGAACUCCGGUCAAGGUUAUAAAGCAAUAACAUUAUCGUUGUAUUGAUUCUCAUUCUUUAUGUGGGCUCAUAUUUUUGUUUUUUGAUUAGCAAAAAAACAUGUCUUAUCGUUGUAUUGAUUUCUGUUGGUUACAAAUUUAGCCACUAUUACUCUCAAGAGGCCACAAAAUUUGACACAAUUUAACAAUUAGGCAAACACAUAAAAGUAUUAUAAAGGGAUAUUAUUGAUUAGAGCAAAAAAUAUCACAUACAUGCAAUGUACAUGAGAGGGGUACAAAACCACUAUAAUACAAAUGAAAUAAUAGUGAUAAGUUGCAAUAAAAUCAUCUCCCAUGUGAUUAUUAGAAGUUCUGGCAAAAAUUAAAAAGUAACAAGAUGCCUGAUACCAAUUGGGUUUCAAAUGUUUGGAAUGGGUGCUUCAUAAGCACUUAAUGCUAACUUGGUGUAACUUUAGUAUGAUAAUAUGCAUCAUAAAAUGGGGAUGAGAAUCAUCUCCAAUACUAGAGAGACAAGUUGUUAUUUUUUCACUUAUAUUGAAGACAAUUUGUUAUAUCAUUGUAUCUAAAGGUAAAAAUAUCUUAUUCUUCUAUUUUACUGUGUUAUUUUUGGUGUACUUGCAUCUCCAAAAGAGGAUCCAUAAUGCAAUGAGUUGUUGCAACUUUUUAGUUGGAUAAUAUGCAUCAUAAAAUAAGAUUUGGAUCCUCUCAAAUACUCAUUUCAAUAUUGGGCCAGAUUAUAACAUGUGGCAUUAACGUCUCAUUUUUUAUUAUUUGGUUCCAAAAUAGGCUUGCACAGCCCACUCAUCCCCACAAUGCAGCAUGUAAUCAAAUCAAUAACUCCCCCGGCACCUGAAAUUCAUGUAUAUCUAUACUAUUAAUAAAGGGAAAACACAAAAUAACCACCCAUCAUGGUGUAAUUUGUGUUUUCCUAUUUUGCCAUCAAUAUCUUUUUAUUUCUACCAAAAAAUCAUAUAAUAUUAUUUUCUUAUUUUAUCUUUAUUAUCUUCUUAUUUUAAAAGUGUAUUUAAAAAAUUGAUUAUUAGACCAAUUGAAUAAAUUCAACCGUAAAUUUAGCGCAAAAAAUUAUAUUUGAAUUUAUAAAAUACAAACUAUACAUUACAAACGAUAGGAAAGCGGGUUAACAAGCACGACAGUGCAUAUCAACGCGCUAGUAAAUAUAAAGUGGCACCAACCAAAGCCAAGAAAAUAUUUAAUCUAAAAAUCUAUAGAAGGGAGAAAUUUUUUACCUGAUAACUGAGGGUUUUCGGAAUCAAUCAAAGCACUGUUUAUAAAGAUAAAUUUGGCAUCAGAUUGUUAAGUCCUUGUUGAGUCCAUCAACUACAUCUCUAACCCAUUCCCUCACCAACAGGUAUUGAAACCUUUUCCCAUGAAUAGUAAUUUCAGAACACAGACUAGCAUACCCAACCCAAACAAAACAAUCUUUCUUGCUCUAAUGUCAUAUACAACUCCUGAACAAAACAAAAAAGUUUGAUUUUCACAAAGUAAAGUCCUGCAGGUAUAUUAUGUUGCAUUAAAAUAUGAGACUCCAUAAAAAAUCAUAGAGAUAAUAUUAUAAUCACAUAUUUUUGCUUCACGUGCAUUAUUGUGAAAAAGCUACUUAAACCAUUGCCCCUUCAUAGUGCUUACUUGAGCCAUGACAAUGGGAGGAAAAAGUUUUAAUUUACUUUGAUCACCUUAAAACUCUAUCUCAAAACCAAUCGAUAAUAAGUGAAAUAAUACAAUAUGUAUUUAAAUCAUUUCCAAAACAAUUAGAGCUAUUUUCCUUACUUUGUUGGUGGAUUCUUUAGCUAUUUGAUUUAGUAUAGGUGAUUACUUUGUCUUAUUUAACACAUUUUGAUCAUUUUUAUAUAAAAAUAUAAAAUAUCAUCUAUCAUCAUAUUCAUAUGUUGCAACUAGUGAAUGAUCUCCUAAAACAAAGAAAUGAUAUAGCACAUUAUACGUAGAAAAUAUCAAUGAAAUAAAAAAAAAAAUUAGGAGCUUAAAGCUUAUGGGUAAUAAAUAAGCUAUUGAUUUCCUUGAAAAUAUAUUUGAUAAAGAUAUUAGUUGAUCAAAUACUUAAUAAUUAUAAAUGACUUAAAAGAUAAAAAAUUUAAAACACCUUUAUGGGAGUUCCUAUUAAACAUAUUGUAGGUUUUUGGCUUCAGCCAUCAAUUCACUAACUGGAUAAGAGUAAUUUUUAACUCUACUAGACUCUCUUUCAUUGUAAAUGACCAAACAUUGGGUUUCGUCAACUGCAGCAAAGGUGUGAGACAAGGAGACCCUUUAUCUCCCUUACUUUUUUGUCUGGUUGAGGAUGUCUUAAGUAGAGGCAUUUUGAGGUUAAUUAAGAAUAGGAUGUUUAGUUAUAUUACUGGUCCACACAUGAUCCAUACCCUUAGUCAUGUCAUGUAUGCAGAUGACAUUCUCAUCUUCUGCAAGGGUUUAAAAAGGGAACUGAUGGCUUUAAAGAACUUCAUAUAUGAUUAUGCUCAGGCCUCUCGCCAAAUCAUAAAUGCAGAGAAAUGCGAAUUCUAUAUUAGCAAUGCUCCUCCUUGGAAAAUUGCCAGGCUCUCCACCUAUCUGGGCUUCUCUCAAGGCUGCUUCCCCUUCAACUAUUUAGGUGUUUCUCUCUUUAAAGGGAAGCCUAAAAGGGUUCCUUCAACCAGUUGCAAACAUGAUAGUAAUGAAAAUGGUUGCUUGGAAGGGUUCUACUUUAUUAAUAAUGGGUAGAGUUGAAUUGGUCAGAUCUAUUAUUCAAAGCAUGUUGAUUUAUAGCUUCCACAUUUAUAAAUGGUCCUCAAAAUUGAUCAAAAGUCUGGAUAGCAAAAUCAGAAACUUCAUUUGGGUUGGAAACACAUAUGUUAGGAAGAUUGUUACUGUUGCUUGAAGACAAGUUUGCUCCCCUAUUCUUGAAGGAAGGUUUGGGCUAAGAUCUCUCUCAAUGAUGAACAAAGUUGCUCUUCUAAAGCAGUAAUGCUGUCUUGGGAGAUGAUCUCCUCAAACCAUGAUUGGGCUAUUUUUUGCAGGACCAGAUUUCACUACAAUAGUUCUACCACUCCUAAAUACUUUAAAUCCUCUAUCUGGCAUGGUAUCAAAGACAACUAGGAUUUAGCUAUGUUGAAUUCCUUCUGGCUGGUAGGUGAUGGUCAAAGCAUUAAUUUCUGGAAGGAUAAUUGGCUUGGUGAACCUCUUGUGGACUCUUUGGAGAUCCCUCAACAAACUCAAUUGUCCUUCAAAACAACUGUGGCAGACUUCAUCCAUGACUCACAAUGGCUAAUUCCUAGUAGCCUAAUCACACGAUACCCUGAAAUUACCUCUAAAAUCAAAUAGGUCAUUAUUGUUAAUACUAAAGAUAAGAUCAUUUGGCAAGACACUGAUGAUAGAACCUUGUCCCCCAAGGCAGUCUACUCCUACGUGAACAAUUAAGCAUCCUUGUUAAACUGGUGCAAAACAAUAUGGUCUAAUGCUAUCCCCCUUCUAAAUCUUUCACAACUUGGAGGUUGAUCAACAGGAAAAUGCUUAUAGAUAAAAACCUUCAAAAAAGAGGUUGUCAAUUAUGUUCAAUUUGCAACCUAUGCCAAAUUGACUCUAGAGGCUCUAAACAUUUGUUUCUGACUUGCCCUUUUGUAGUCUACCUUUGGAAGUGGUUAGGAUCCCAAUUCUCAAUCAAUUUGAACACAUCAUCUGCAUAUUCUCUAUUCCUAAGCUACAACAACCUCUGGAGUACUCAGUUGAGAGAGGUGCUUAAUGUUGGCAUUAUCCACAUUAUUUGUACCAUCUGGAAUUGUAGGAAUUAGACUAGAUUUGAGAAUAGAAAAUUGUCUUGAGUCAAGCUAUUAGAAAGAUAAAAAGAGAAGUUGCUAUAACUGGUAAUCACUUGAAAGAGGUUGGAAACUCUUCCCUACAUGAAUUCUACACCCUUAGAGCUCUAAAAAUCAGAAACAACAUCAACAAAGCCCCUAGCAUUUCAGAGAUUAUCUGGCAGCAUCCUCCUUCUGGUUGGGUAAAAGUGAAUACUGAUGGUGCGGCUCAGGACACUUUGGGGACAUCAUGGGGUGGUGGAUUAUUCAGAGAUUCUAUUGGUAAUUUUUUAAGGGAGGUAUGCUUCUUUCCUUGGAGUUCAAAUGGCUAUCUUUGCUAAGUUCAAUUCACCCUUAACUGCACUGAACAUAUCCUUCAGCGAAGGCUGGAAUACCUUGUGGUUGUAAUGUCACUCGUCCCUGGUGGUGGAUAUUGUCAAUGACAAAGUCAAUGCUCCAUGGCCUUUGUUGAACAAGUGGUUAAAUUUCAAGCUCAAGAUUUCAGUGAUGAACAAGAUAUCUCAAAUAUAUAGAGAAAGAAAUACUUGCGCCAACAUUCUAGUUAAGCAUGACAUAAAUCAUAGAUCUAAUUUAUGGUGGAAUGUUUUUCCUAACUUUCUAAAUUUAGAAUUUGGUAGGAAUAAGUUAGGCCUACCUAACUACAGAUUUAGAAACUUAUAAUCAUGUCUUCUCCAUGUACUCGACUUUCUAUUAUAAUAUAUUUCCUUAGGUGGUUAUGCACCUUCGGUUAAUAAAAAAAACACUGCCAUAUUUUUUUAACAAAUAAGCUCAUUGAGUGCCUCUUAAGUGUAUUGUUAAACACCCUAUCAAUAUCUUAUGUGAAGAAGAAAACUCAAUUACUUUGAAUCGGGAAAUUCAAUGCAACUUUGGGUGGUAUAGGUCGGUAGAUGAAAAUCUCUUCAAUUCAUGUUUUGGUUAUUGAUAAGUGCCAAAAGUAUACACUUUUCACCAUCAUUUUAUGGCACUUAUCCUAUACAAAUUGUAGAAAACCAACUUAAACUAACACUUUUUAGGUGAAUUUUGCAUGGUUAAAUAAAUUGGUUCUUUAUUAAUUCUUGUCCAAGUUUUCUUUGAGUUUUGUAGGAAAUUGAAUAUUGUUGAAAGGCUUUUUCGGUGUUAUUUUAUUUUAGUUUAGAGUUUUCUCCUCUCAACAAAUCGUCCUGACAGCAGUGUCAAUUUGUUGAAAGGUUAAUACUCUCAUUUUCAUUAUGUUCCUUUUGUAAGUAAGAGAACUCAAUUUUAUUCUUUGUUCGUCAUCUCGGCUUUGUUGAAAUAAAUUCCAACGCCGGUAUAAUGGUUUCAAGAAUAUUCCAGUUACAACUUACUUUCUUAAUAAUCAUGUGAAUAAGUCAUUCCUUUUUUGCCCCAUCUCGGCUUUGUUAGAAUAAAUUCUAACGCCGGUAUUAUGGUAUCGAAGCAAUUACCUAUUACAUAAUUAUUUAAGUACCUUUGAAUACCAUCUCGAUUUUGUGGAAUAAAUUCCAACAUCGGUUUAAUGGUAUUCUAAUAUAUAAAAGUGAUGAAUAGUUAGUUGNNNNNNNNNNNNNNNNNNNNNNNNNNNNNNNNNNNNNNNNNNNNNNNNNNNNNNNNNNNNNNNNNNNNNNNNNNNNNNNNNNNNNNNNNNNNNNNNNNNNAAUUUACAUCUCUUUCAAGAUUCAAUUGUAGUAUAGUAUAGGGUUAUGUCGAACCACAAGGAAUUGCCUAAUAAAAUAAAUCAUGUAAACAUGUCAAAGCAAAAAUAAUGGUUUAAACAUAUUUUGAUGGUUUUUCGGUUUUAUUUGCACAUAAAUAAAUCAACAAGAAAAAUAAACUAAGUAUUCACAAAUUCUUGAGGAGUCAAAAUCUUUUGGAAUAAGAAAACAUAUUUCUCAUCUUCUUUUUGAGUUUGAACUACUUAGACAAGUUCUUAUAUUUUACUUUGGUUAACCCCAAACACCAAGGUCUGAAAUCCUCCGUUUAGUGUAUAUCCUAAAAUGGUAGAAUCAUAAACACUUAUAUUCAUCACUUAANNNNNNNNNNNNNNNNNNNNNNNNNNNNNNNNNNNNNNNNNNNNNNNNNNNNNNNNNNNNNNNNNNNNNNNNNNNNNNNNNNNNNNNNNNNNNNNNNNNNGUAGAAAUUACAUAACCUUGUUCAAAAGAAAAUGUUUAGGAGCAUGAGCUAUCCAUCCAAGGAUUGGAUGCUUUUGAGUUCCAAAUGAGAGUACAAAAUUGAUUUUUGCAUCUCAUUUGCCUUCUCAUUUUCUCCUCUUUAAUUCUAAACUACAAAUUACAAAACUUACUUGAAAAUGAAAACUCUAAUCUAAGAAAGAAUUCCUAAAUGAGAGAAUUCUGGCCUUCAAGUAUUUUUGAGAGAAUUUUAUGAAAAAAUAGUGUGUUAUCUUCUCUUUUGAUCGAAGGAAAUAGCCUCUAUUUAUAGACUCCAUUCCAGCCUGUUGAGCUGCUGAGCUGGACCGCUCAGCAGCUGACCAAACUCUUCAGCAUGGGUUUGGUCCCUUGACCAAGUANNNNNNNNNNNNNNNNNNNNNNNNNNNNNNNNNNNNNNNNNNNNNNNNNNNNNNNNNNNNNNNNNNNNNNNNNNNNNNNNNNNNNNNNNNNNNNNNNNNNUGAGCAGCUUGGUUUGACCGCUGAGCAGCUUGUUCAGCAGCUUGGCUUGUGCCAAGCUCGUGUCUGACCGUGUCAAGCAUAUUUCUGACCGUGCCUGGCCUAGUCUGGUGUUAGGCUGACUGGCUAAGCAGGUCCGCUCAACUACCUGGUUGAGCAGUUUGGUCCAGGUCAGGCAGGUGGUCAGGUCAGCUCAGCGGGGCUUGUUCAGUUCUCAGCUGCCUGGUUGAGCACCUUGAUUUUCUUGACUUUUGUUGCUUUUGACCAUGAAUCUUUUCUUUUCUUUUAUUCAUUUUAUUUCCUACAAAAUCCAUAAAAAGGCAAUACAAACACAAAUAUACCAAAUUGUGAUAUUUUAUACAAAAAGUAUUGUUUUAAGUUGGUUUUUCUCAAUUAUGCUUAAGAUAAGUGCCAUAGAAGUGUAUAAUAUUAGGUAUGUUUGGUACUUAUCAAAUAUUAAAGAAUAAAUUCAAAGAUGGAUAAGAAUUCAAGCCAAAAUUCAAGACAAAAGCUCAAAAUGAAUUGCUAAAAGUAAUCAAGUUAAAGCAUGGCAUGCUAUGUGCUUAAUUUGGUUACUUAGCCUUGAAGAAAGGUACCUUACUUCGUCUUGAAGAAACCUAUGUUAAGGUAGGCCAANNNNNNNNNNNNNNNNNNNNNNNNNNNNNNNNNNNNNNNNNNNNNNNNNNNNNNNNNNNNNNNNNNNNNNNNNNNNNNNNNNNNNNNNNNNNNNNNNNNNCAUGAAGAAAUCAAGCACAAAGCUGUCCAUCCAAGACAAGCACCAAGCCAGGUCAGCCAGGCACUAAGCACCAGGCCAGGUCAGCCAGGCACCAAGCACCAGGCCAGGUCACUCAGGCACCAAGCACCAGGCUAGGUCACCCAGGCACCAAGCACCAAGCCAGGUCACCCAGGCACCAAGCACCAGGCCAGGCCAACUAAGCUGCUGAAACAGGCAGCUGAGCGUGGAACCAGUCAGCUGAGCGGCUGAAACAUACAGCUGAGCGGGGAACUAGGUCAGCCAAGCUGCUGAAACAGGCAGCUUAGCGGGGAAAUAGGUGGGCUAAGCGGCUGGCGCAUCAGAAAAGUGAGUUUUUGGUUAAAUCAUGGAACAUCUUACUUUUUCUUUGCAUAAAGACCAAGAACAUGACCUCAUGGAUGACAUAAGGCUAUGACAAGAAGGAGGACAUGUCACCAUGCAUGUAACCUAGCGCACCAUAGGGGUCAAGUAGGGGCCAAAGUGGCUCUNNNNNNNNNNNNNNNNNNNNNNNNNNNNNNNNNNNNNNNNNNNNNNNNNNNNNNNNNNNNNNNNNNNNNNNNNNNNNNNNNNNNNNNNNNNNNNNNNNNNAUUUAUUUGUUGAAAACACCUUUUAAUAUACAAAAGUGAUGAACUAACUUACUAACUUUUAUUUAUUGUUAUUUACUUUCCGCAUUUUAUUUAUUCUUUAAUACCAACCUUCAUUAAGGAAGAAGUUUGGUUUGUUAAAUAAAAUGAACACGAAAGGAAAUGGAGUAAAUAAAUAAAGGUCACUAAAUUUAUUAUUCUUUUGUUCUUUAUUUAUUUAUUUGUAUCUAACAACUAGCUAUUCAUCGUUUUUAUAUAUUAGAAUAUCAAUAAACCAGUGUUGGAAUUUAUUCCAGAAAACCAAGAUGAUAUUCAAAGGUACUUAAUAAUUAUGUAAUAUGUAAUUGUUUCGAUAUCAUUAUACAGGCGUUAGAAUUUAUUCUAACAAAGCCGAUAUGGGGCAAAGAAUGAAUGACUUAUUCACAUGAUUAUUAAGAAAGUAAGUUGUAACUGGAAUAUUCUUGAAAUCAUUAUACCGGCGUUAGAAUUUAUUUCAACAAAGCCGAGAUGGCGAACAAAUAAUAAAACUGAGUUCUCUUACUUACAAAAGGAACAUAACAAAAAUGAGCAUAUUAAUCUUUCAACUAAUUGACACUGUUGUCAGGACGAUUUGUUGUGAGGAGAAAACUCACAACUAAAAUAAACACUGAAAAACGUUUUCAACAAAUUGGCGUUGUUGUCAGGGAAUUGCUUUAAUAAUAGAACAUUUCAUAUUUAUAUGUCAUUCAUCAAAUAAUUAUGCAUAACAUUUUCUUUCUCUUUUGUAUAAAUUUAUUUUUCUUUUUGCACAUCUUUAUUUUUAUGUUUUGUACAUUUGAAAAAAUUAAAAACUCAAAAAAAAAUGAUUUAGUGGAAUGAAAACUCACUAGUUAAGAAACAUUUUAUUGUUGUUAUAAAAUUUUGAGGAGAUGUGGAGGUACCCCUCAUCGACGUUUGCAAAAGACAACAUAAAAGGAAUUGAAAUAAAUAAGGAUUAGUGGCUGGACUUUUUUCUUCAAGAAGGGAAGCCACUUGAAACCUUAAAGGUUAAGUAUUCACCAUGUACUUUUUGGUGAUAAAACUUUAUCUAGUGAUACUUUAACCAAACAUAUCGAUCAACAUGCCUUAGUAAAUGAUUUUGAAAUUGUCAAAUUAAUUUUUAAAAAACUAAGAGCAUGCUUGUUACUUUUGUGCCAAAAUUGAAUUUUUCCAAACUUUAGAACUCCUUUAACAAAAUAAAUUCAUGAAAUUCUGAAUGGAUUUAUUUAUGGAUAUUUAGUGUGAUAAAAUGUGUUUUGAAGUUCCAUAAAUUUUGUUUGGACUUCCAUUUUAUCACUUGGAUUUGAAAUAUGAAUGAAUUUUUUUUCUAAACAUCAAUUUUCAUGGAAAAACAUGAUGUUUGGUUGGAAUUCUUUCAAUCAAAUUUAAUUCAUGAACGUAGUGUCUUAGGAAAUUAUAAAUUCAUGUCAAUUGUUAGACUAACAUCAAAGAAAAAGAAAAUUGCAAGUUCGAAAUGAUUUACAGGAAAACAAGUCCAAACAAACAAACAAAAAUGAGGAGUUGAUGACACCACUAUCUAGGAGAGGAUAGUGAAAAUAAGGAGAAUGAAAUUCUGUGUUCUCCUAAAAAUUGUGGUUAGUUUUAAUUUUCUUUUUCAUUCUUUCAAAAUAUUAUACAAACUUCCUAAAAAUAUUUUUUUGACUUGAGAACAAGUCAAGUACUUAAGUUGGGGGGAGUGUGUAUAACAUUUUGAAAGAAUAAAAUUUUUACUAUAUUUUAAACUUUUCUCUUGUUUCUACUUUAUUUUAAUUUUUUUAGUGUGUUUAUUUUUAUUUUUAGUGCGUUUACUUGUUAAAAUUAUUAUUUUUAGUGUGUUUAUUUUUUCUUUUUGAAGAUUUAUUUAAAAAGUGAAUUUUUUUUAAACUACACACAGUAAAUAAACACAUAAUUGGCUUAAACAUUUUUUAAGAUCAAUGACUUUGUAAAUUACAAGCUUUGAUGAGCAACAUGAGAUGAAAAUUUUGUGAAUAAUUCAUAAUGUUAUAACUUGGAUAAAAUGCAAACUUUUUGGAAAAUCAUUUAUCAUGACCUUGUGAAUUUGUUAAAAAUCAAAGAGUUGUACAUAAACCAACCUUGUGAGGAAGUGUAAGCCAAACACAAUAAUUAUGUGAGCUUAGUGAGAAACUUUUUGGUUUUGCACAAUUAAUUUUGUUUGAAUCUUUCUUUACUUGGUUGCACACAAUUUGAUAGGAUAUGAUCAAGGCAAGUUCUUUCAAUUAAAUGAGUCACUUGACCAAAAAUGACCAACCAAAAAUAGGAAUAUCCUUUGUUAACCCCUUUGAGCCUNNNNNNNNNNNNNNNNNNNNNNNNNNNNNNNNNNNNNNNNNNNNNNNNNNNNNNNNNNNNNNNNNNNNNNNNNNNNNNNNNNNNNNNNNNNNNNNNNNNNUUUGUGCAAUCAAAGUAAGUGUUGAGAUGAAAAACAAAAUUAAAUUCUUGCAAAUCAAAGAAGUUGAGUUUUGAGUAAAACACUUACCUUAUUUGGUUCCAUUCUUGAACCGUGUGUGAAAUGCAUCUCUUUGAUUGAUAACAUUUUUAAUAAGUGAAUUACUAAAUGAGUUUUUGAAAAGAUGUGUUCAAUUCUUAGUUUGAAGCAUUAUGAGUCAAAGUCACAUAAUCAUAAACNNNNNNNNNNNNNNNNNNNNNNNNNNNNNNNNNNNNNNNNNNNNNNNNNNNNNNNNNNNNNNNNNNNNNNNNNNNNNNNNNNNNNNNNNNNNNNNNNNNNGUCCAACCAAGCCAAGCACCAAGCACCAGGCCAGGUCAGCCAGGCACCAAGCACCAGGUCAGGUCAGCCAGGCACUAAGCACCAGGCCAGGUCAGCCAGGCACCAAGCACCAGGUCAGGUCAGCCAGGCACUAAGCACCAGGCCAGGUCAGCCAGGCACCAAGCAUCAGGCCAGGUCAGACAGGCACCAAGCACCAGGCCAGGUCAGCAGGCACCAAGCAUCAGGCCAGGCCAGCUAAGCUGCUGAAACAGGCAACUGAGUGUGGAACCAGUCAGCUGAGCGGCUAAAACAUGUAGCUGAGCGGGGAACCAGGUCAGGCAAGCUACUGAAACAGGCAGCUUAGCGGGGAAACAUGUGGGCUAAGCGGCUGGCGCACCAAAAAAGUGAUUUUUUGGUCAAAUCAUGGAUCAUCUUACUUUUUCUUUACUUAAAGGCAAAGAACACGACCUCAUGGAUGACAUAAGGCUAUGACAAGAAGGAGGAGAUGUCACCAUGCAUGUAACCUAGCCCACCAUAGGGGUCAAGUAGGGGCCAAAGUGGCUCUUCAUAGGGGCCAAAGGUGAGCAACUUAGCAACAAAACAAGGCAGUUGAGCAUCCAACACCUUGGCCUAUAAAAAGGCGCGAAAUUCUCAUUUGUAAAACAUUGUACAUUCNNNNNNNNNNNNNNNNNNNNNNNNNNNNNNNNNNNNNNNNNNNNNNNNNNNNNNNNNNNNNNNNNNNNNNNNNNNNNNNNNNNNNNNNNNNNNNNNNNNNUAUACUAUACUAGAAUUGAAUCUUGAAAGAGGUGUAAAUUGUAAAAUAGUAAAUUGUUAUCAAUAAAUUUAUUUGUUGAAAACACCUUUUAAUAUACAAAAGUGAUGAAACUAACUUACUAACUUUUAUUUAUUGUUAUUUACUUUCCGCAUUUUAUUUAUUCUUUAAUACCAACAUUCAUUAAGGAAGAAGUUUGGUUUGUUAAAUAAAAUGAACACGAAAGGAAAUGGAGUAAAUAAAUAAAGGUCACUAAAUUUAUUAUUCUUUUGUUCUUUAUUUAUUUAUUUGUAUCUAACAACUAGCUAUUCAUCGUUUUUAUAUAUUAGAAUAUCAAUAAACCAGUGUUGGAAUUUAUUCCAGAAAACCAAGAUGAUAUUCAAAGGUAUUUAAUAAUUAUGUAAUAUGUAAUUGUUUCGAUAUCAUUAUACAGGCGUUAGAAUUUAUUCGAACAAAGCCGAGAUGGGCAAAGAAGGAAUGACUUAUUCACAUGAUUAUUAAGAAAGUAAGUUGUAACUAAAAUAUUCUUGAAACGGAAUUUAUUUCAACAAAGCCGAGAUGGCGAACAAAGAAUAAAACCGAGUUCUCUUACUUACAAAAAGAACAUAACGAAAAUGAGCAAAUUAAUCUUUCAACAAACUGAUACAACUGUCAGGACGAUUUGUGGAGAGAAGAAAACUCACAACUAAAAUAAACACCAAAAAACGUUUUCAAUUUAAGAUAUCAAAAUCUAAGUCAUUUAAGACAUUAAGACAUCUGAUUUUUAUUGAACGGGACAAGUCAAAUUAAUUUAUGUUGGAAAUUGUUUGGUUGCUUUAAAAUUCAAAUAAAUUUUUUAGUAUCUAUUAUUGAAAUAAUGGAGAGACAUGGACUCAAAUUCAUUCUUUCAAGAAAAAGUUUAUUUCAUAUCUGUUUUCUUCUUAUACUUAUUAGAGAUUAUUAUGAGGUUUAAAUUUAGAUAUUGCAAAACUUAAGAGGAUGUGAGAGAGUAAUCUAUGUAUGUGUUGUAAUAAUUUUCCCAUUAAAUUAUAUUCUGGUUGCUUUAGGCAACAAUAAUCAUGAUUAGUUUUUUUUUUUUUUGGAUUUCGGAUUUUUUUGUUACUCUUGGGGUUGAAAAUGUUAUAUUUUCAUAUUUUAUUUUUCUGUUUCUUGACAACAGAAUCCAUUCCCUAUGAAGAGUGACAUUAUUUGACCCAAUUAGCCAAAAAAAUUGGUCCAAACAAAAAACUAACCCUUACAAAAUUAUAUUAAUAACUUAUCAUCAUUGACCAUCAUACUUAACCAACAUGUAGAUGUGACUCUCAACAUUAAUAAUCAAUAUUGCAACCUUUCAAAACUUUAAGACAAAUUACACCUGCACUUAUGAUUCACUCUUGAACCUUAACAUAUGGAUAUGUAACAAAGUAAGAAAAUUAAGAACUCUUUUAUGGCUUAAAAGAAACAACACAUUCCAAGAACAUUAAUUGUAACACAUCUUAUGUCACUAUAGCUAGCUUGGUCAACACUCAUAUCUGAGCUAAGCGGCGGAUAUUAAUAGGAUAAGCAUCAUCUAUAGAAUCAGAGUUAUAAGCUCUUUGAGCAACAACAACAUUGCCAGCUUCAGUUGGAUGAAAUGCAUCCCAAAACAAAUAUUCUCUCCUAUUUGAGCAUGGAGUUUGCAAUGGUAAACAUGUAAUUUGACCAUUGUUCCUUCCAACUCCACAGCACCCAGAAUUUGUAUUGCUGAAACCUGAUAAUUAGCAUUAAAUCAAUGAGUAUAUAAUGUAUAAACUUUGUCCAAAUUUUGGUUGUUAUGGACUAGAAAAUGUUUUAGAUAGAAAACAAAGAAUUAAUUACCAUAGACUGUAGGGUUACUUAUAAUAUCUUGGAAGAUACCAUAAGAGUUUAUGUAGAUGAAUCUUGCAUCAGGCAACUGGUUGUUAAGUUGAUCAACAAGAGAUUUCAAUUUGCUGUUGAAUAUUUGGUUUGCUACAUUGAUUGUUUCCACACAUGUGCUACCAUCUGGGCUGUUUUGGGCUAAUUCAUUAGGGCUGCAACCUAUUUGACCAACCCCAAAUAGCACCAUUUUCCUUGCCCCAUAGUUAUACAAAGUCUGAAUCACAAACAUAAACAGUUAAGCUUUUAAUUUCUAAGGCUCAUAUUAUUAGGACAUGUGACCAGCUAGCUAAAACUUCAAAUUGUUAAUCAUUUAUUGUUUUCCUUCAAUCCUAAAUUUUAAGUUGGAAAUGGUUAGUUAAUGCCAUGCAUAUUAUGAGAUUAUAAUUAACUAAUUGGAGGUGAUAAAAAGGGGGAAAAAUAAAGAGAAGGAGAGGUAGACACUAACUUGAAGUUGUUCAGUAUAAUCUUGAAGAAGAACAUCAGCAUACUCAUCUGUUGUGUAUUGCCUGCUGCUGGAAUAGAAUUGAGGCAUAAAAUAGUUGUUAAGGUAAUCAUUGCUACCCAAUCCAAUCGAAUAAAUACACUUGCUCAAGUAAUUUGCAGCUUGGUCCUCAGUUCCCAAUAUAUUUACAAAUUGGGACACUGUGUUUUGGUAAUUUUGCACCUGCCCUCUAAAAGAAAUGCGCCCUCCCUACAAAAACAGGUAAAAAAAUUAAACACAUAAUCAAACUCUUUACAAAUUAAGGUAGUGCUUGGCAUAAUCAGGAUGCAACAUUUCUUCUCUUUAUCUUAUAUUGAUUGGAUGAGACAUCCAUCAACUUGUCUUUCUCUUUGUUAAUUUCAGAGAUUAAGUAGAUAGGAGUACCACUCGUUCUCCUACUAUUUUAUCUCUUGAUUAAUAAAGUUUUUAUUGCUGAUAAAAAAAAAGGUUCUCUUUUGUUUUGAGUAAAAUUAAAAUGUUCUAGUUUUUAAUCCUAUAUCAUGUUCAAACACAUAACAGAACCUAAACAUAAGGGAGUCAUAAGGUGACAGUGAGGGUAAAAGUGAAAGAUUGAAGUAAAGGGUUAAGUCUUACCCACAACAAAUACUAACGUGUUAACAUUUGCUGAUAAAAGAAAAACCUAGACAUAAUAUGUUAUGUUCGAUCUUGUAAUAAAGUGUCUAAUAAACUUUAUAAAAGGAAAAAAUAUAUAUAUAUAAUGUACCAGUUGCUGUCCAGUUUCCUCUCUUAUUCCAGCAGCAGCAGAUGCAUAAUUAACUCCUCUUAGUAUGUCUUCAUCACUAGCUGAUGCAUAUGGGGGCAUGUAGUCAUCAAACCCCAAAAGUUCAGCUGUUCAAUUUCAACACAGACAGUUAAUUACACAAUAAGGGUUAAAUUAAGUUUUCAUGUACUUAAAUUAAAAGCUAUGCUUGAAUUAUUUUUAUGUGCCAUAAUAACUCUCCUAUUUUUCUCAACCUCUUGUUUGUUGCUUUUACUAGAUCAGUACUUCUAUAGUUCUGGUAAAAAAGGACAGGCAGUAAAUUUUUCCAGUUCUGGUGCACUUUCCUUUUUUUACGUACAUUUCUACCUCUUAGUUAAAGAUCUACCAGAAUGUCUUAAAUUGCACAUUGAAUGCCGCCAAACUGAGCCAUGUGUUGGAAUUCAAUUACUCUCUGAAUUUAGCAGAAUAGUUGUGAUCCUAUAGAAAUAUGCAUGCAUAUAUUUAGAUGUUUUUUAUUUACUUACCUUACCUAUCAGAUAAGUUGAAAAUGUGCGACCAACAAAAAAAAAGAGUUAUGUUAGAACACAGUUUUCAACCUACUCUUCAUUAUUAGAGGAAGUUGAUGUAGGACUUCAACAGUGUGAUUUAGCUAAUGCCAUAUAAAAUCCAUCAGUAACCAAGAGUGUGUUACAAAAAGUGUUCAAAGAAUGUUUUGUUAACCUUUCUCAAAAAGUAAUAUUGUUUUAUAUGCUAAAGUUAUUAGUAAGAGAUCUACUUCCGAGUUAAGGGUGCAAAAGUGUAUUCUAAAAAUUAAUAAAGCAUUUUGUUAUAUUGAGAGUGGGAUCAUGUGAUUAAUGGAACAAAAGUGUGAAUUACUAAAUAAAAAUUAAAACAAUGCAUGUUAGUAUAUUGAAAUCACAAAACACAUGUAACACACACUUGCAAGGAGUAAUUCUAUAAUCAGUUACCUUCAAGGAACUUAUGAUCAAUUAGCAAAACUCAAAAUCCCAAUUGUGAGAGUUACAAUAGAUGAAAAGAUCUAAGAGCAUAUGACUAUGUUAAUGCCAUUAACUCAUCACUACGAUUCUGACAAAGAUGAUGAUUCCAGGUACAUGCAUGCAUGUGAAACUAGUUUAAAGCAAGGAUGUAAGAACAUAGAAGUGUGUAGCAAAUGUGUUAUGUGGUUUUGUUAACAUCAUAGUUGACUUACAUAUUCUGCUGAAAAGUGUAAUAAUGCAUGCAAUUGAUAUAAUGCUAAUUAAUAAAGAUAGUGACUGAAAGGUAAGUAAGGUCACCAAUUGCAUCAACAGUAGUUUUUCCAUUACAAAACCUUCCACUUGGUCCAUUAGGGAAAUCAAUCCCAUAAGGAAGGUAAUCAGCUCUAGCCAAAGAUUGUAGCUGGUUGUUGUUCCCAUUAUCAACCAAUGAAUCACCAAAAAUAAAGUAGCAAGGUACUUGUGGUGCAGCGCCAACACUUCCACUCCACAAGACAAGAACCACAAGAACUGCUACAAUGCUCAUAACCCAUUUUCUCAUGAGAUCCAAAGCUGCUUCCAUUGAAUCAAGAAAGGAGAAUGAAGAGAGUGUUUGAGAGUGAAGUUGAGUAGGUUGGAGAGUGAGUACAAGUAUAUAUAUUUUGAAGAAAGAGAAGAUGGGCCAUGCUGCUUUUAUGUUAUUUUUUUUUACAGUUGGGAGGGUUUGUUGAGUGCAUUAAAUUUACGCGGAUAUCAAAUGUGAGAGAGAUUGAAUUACCCACCACCCUACCACUGUUGUGAUCUGAUUUUAACAAAUGAUAAAUGAUAAAUGAUCUAUAUAAAUCUUCAUAUUUAUAGUUUAUAUAAAUAUUAGACUCUAAAUAUUAUUUAUUAUCUUUCUUCUAACAUUACAUGCCUAGAGGAAAUAAAAAAUGUAGUAUAUUUAAUUUUUCCACUACGCCAGAAUUGGUAUUUAACAACGCUCAUUUAACAGCGCUUAUAUGUUAAACGUUGUUAAAUGUAAGGCGGAAGAGAAUUAACAACGCUUAUUUAAGCAAACGUUAUUAAAGGUGUUAUCUUUAACAGCGCGUUUAUUGAAGAAAGCGUUGGUAAAGAUCAUACUUCAUAUAUUUAACAACACUUCUUCAAUAAGCGAUAUUAGAUGUGUUAUCUUUAACAACAUUUAUUAAAGAAAACGUUGUUAAAAGUAUUAUAUUUAACAAUGCUUAUUAAAGUAAAUGUUGUUAAAGGUGAUACUUCAUAUAUUUAACAGCACUUCUUCGAUAAACGAGGUUAAAGGUGUUAUCUUUAACAAUACUUCUUCAAUAAGCAUUGUUAAAGCUUCAUAUAUUUAACAACAUUUCUUCAAUAAGCGCGGUUAAACACUUGUUUUAGUGAGCGGGAAUCUUUUCAAAUUCAAAAAACAAAACCUCACACAAUAAUACAUAUCACUCGAUUUAUUAUUUCUUUUAUCUUUCUUCUUCUCCAUAAGUUACAUUUAUUUCUCUUUUGUUUGUAGUUUCUCUCUUUAAGCAAGUUAUCAAUUUUUGGUUGUUCUCUUCUUCAAGCAUAAGGUAAAUCAUUAUCUUAUUUUAACUCAUUUAUUUUUCUCUUCACUAAUAGUGUGAUCUUUAUUUGUUGUGAAGUUAUGCAGCUAUUGUGAAGUUGUCGAUCUUUGGUUUAUCUCUUCAACCAUAAGGUAAAUCGUUAUCUUAUUUUAGCUCAUUUAUUUUUCUCUUCACUAAUAGUGUGAUCUUUAUUUGUUGUGAAGUUAUACAGCUAUGGUGUUCUAGGUUUUUUGCUAUGGUGAACAUUGGAGGAGAAAGAAUAAACAAUUUGCGUAAGAUCUCAUUACUCAUAUGUUAUUUUAUGAUAUUGGAAUAUGUUAAGGUUGAAUGUAGUUAAAGUUGUUGAUGAUUUAACAAAUCUAUUGUAAAUGUGGUGGAGUUGGACAUGAUUAUCAUGUGUUUGAUAGAAUGUCUAGGAGAUAUAUUGGGUUAAAUAUCUACUUUCUACAGCGCUACACAAAACACUGUUGAAUACAACCUUAUGUACUACUGCGAUCAUAUAAAAAGCGCCACAAAAAUAUUAUUAAAUAACAAUUUUAAGCGAUGUUGUUUUGCUAUUCUGGCAUAGUGGUCAUUCAAAUUAAUUAUGUACAACUUUUAUAUUAAAAUUUGAACAAAAUUGAGAACCUCGUGCAAAUUUUGAGGAGGAAUAAAAUUGAGGAACUCAAAUUUGUUAAAAAUAAGUUAAAGACACUAGAGUUUGAAUAAAAAUUAGAACAUGAAAUUAUAUUUCCUUUCUUGUUCAUCAAUUAUAGUUGCUCACUUGGGAACGUAGGGCAAGAUUGGUGGUAAUAAAUUUUUAUUUCUUGGACCUCCUAUCAAGAUGGGGCUUCUUGGGUGAAUGAAAGUCACUUGUGCUAAAAGCAUGUCCUAAAUCUUGUUUCACUUUAAUAAAAUUUUGAUACCUAAUAAAAAUUAACAUUAUUAAGGAUAGAGCACAAUGCGGAAGCACAGGAUUGAAUCAAUUGAGAACAAAAGAGAAGCAAGUAAAGGAUAAAGAAAAUAACACACAAGAUUUAACGUGGAAAAACCCCUCAGUAUGAAAAGAAAAAAACCACGGGCGAUCAAGAGCAAAAUUCCACUAUGUAAAAAAGAAGAGUACAAGAAAUCCUCUUAUAAUGAUGAGGACAAAUGACAAUAUUUUUUCUCACAAAUACUCUCUCAAAUGGAACAAGAAUUCUCACCAAGAAUGCACUCACAAUAUAUGUGUAAAUGAAAGAGAUGUUGUGUGUUGUGAAGAUGAUUUUGAAGCUCUCUAUAUGUGUCCUUUUAUAGGCAAGCAAAGUCUUGGUAUCUUGGAUAUGAAGCAUUGGAUGCUUGGAAACAAAGCCAUAAAAGUGACACAAAAUGUCUUUAGAGAGAGCCAUAAAAUAGUCAUAAAAUUCUUUUAAGGCAUAGAAAUGAGAGGCAUCUAACAAAAAUAAAUGGUGUAUAAUACAGUGAUAAUAUAAAAUAUUGUUACACUAUCGCUACAUACAUUUCUUUCUUUUAAUUUUUUACUACUUACAAUUUUUUUUAAUCAUAUAAUUGUUCCAAGGGUAGUUUUGACAUUUAACAAAUAUUAUUAUUUAUCUCUUCUCAUUUUUACUAUAGCAAACAAACGAAAGAUAGAAGAAAAUACAGAUUUCUCAUCUUUUUCUUUUCUCUUUCUCUUCUAUCAAACAAUAAGAAAAUGAGGAGGAACCCGCUUACUCUAAGAGUAAAACUUACUCCCAAUCUUAGCCAUCAAUUCUAGGGGAAUCCAAUGGUUUGAAUUAGUUAUUAGAUUUAAACCAUUUCAGUUCAUAGAAUUGAUGACUAGGAUGCACUAUACUUAUAGUCUAUACUUACAAUCAUCACUCUAAGAAAAUACACUAUACUUAUAAUCUUAAAUAAGUUUAAUACAUAAUAUCUUUUAUGCAAUCUAUGCAAAUUUGUAUUGUAGCAAUAUAGAAACAAAGUUAUGAGUUGUAGACAUUUACCAUAUAUAGAAUAUAACAUUGACUUUGAGUUGAGUUGAAAAAAUACAUGUAUUCAACAAUAUAACGUAUAUAAUUUUUUCAUUUGAUCUAUUGCAAUGUAAAUAAAUUCUAAUUAGUAAAUAUUACAAUUCAGUUUUGGUAAAAAAUCUCAACCUACAUUUAUUGUUUGGGUCAAUUUUCAUUAACACAAUUCCAUAUCAUUAUUAGGAAAUUUAAUAAACUUAGAUUUUUUUAAAUUUUAAUCAACACGAAAAGAAGAAAGAUAUUUUGUGAAAUUUUAUUACAAGCUGACACAUGUCUUUCAUGGAUAUAUAGAUGAACAACCGUAACACAACUUUCCUCUCCCAUUCUCACAUUUUUCACCAUAGUAUUGUCUUAAAUGUUGAAUCCUAUAAUUUCUUCAUUGAUGUUCAACCCAAAAAGAAGAUUAGAAAAGAGAUCAAAGGUGGAGUUGGAAAUGGGAAGUGAUGAAAUACCAGAUUUAACCAAAAAAGUACCUGCAAAUGUAUUAAGUCACAUCCUCACUUUUCUUCCACUUGAUGAAGCUAUAAGAAGUGGUAUCCUUUCAAAGAAAUGGAAAGAUCUUUGGAGAAAUACUACACACAUAGAACUGAAUGAGAAGAAAUUGAUAAAGCCUUUAUCACAACUUUUAAUUUCAAGAAAAUUUGUACCAACCAAAGAUGUUACAAAAGGAGCUAACAGGUAUGCUCUUCUUGUGUAUAGAAUCAUGUUUCAUCACUAUGGUGACUUACCUAGUUUCCGCAUUUUGCACUUAUGGAAGAGUCUUUUGCUUGGGGAAGUUCAAUCUUGGGUUGAGUAUGUGCUUAAAACUAGGGAAGGGGUUCAAAAAUUGAGCCUUGAGUGUGAGCUUGAUAAUGGAGAAAUGGGAGAGUGGUUCCUAUUCAAAGAUGACAUUCCUAAGCUCAAUUUCUCAAAGGGGAUAUUUCAAAGUCUAGGUUCGCUUGAAAUGAUUAACUACAAUAUUAAUUGUUCAAAUGCAUUUGUUGGCUGCAAAAACCUUAAAACCCUAAAGCUGGAGAAGAUCAACUUGGCUGACAGGAUCAUCAACGAUAUUCUGAAUAAUUGUGUAGUGUUGUAGAACUUUACUCUGAAUGAGUCUACUGGAUUUAACAAACUCAUUAUCAUGAAAUAAAGUCUUAAAGUUUUGAAGCUCCAAGGUCUGUGUGUGGAUAAGCUAAAAGUUUCAUGUGAGAAUCUUGAAGUUUUGUUGCUUGAUUCUUUAACUUAUCCUACAAAUGCUGCAAGCAUCUAUACACCAAACCUGAAAACAUUCAGUUCUUAUUAUUACUCAUUGUUUGGAAACAUGCAUGCUAUAAAUGAAGGGUACUCUAUUGUGAAAGGCUGGGAAAUUCUCGAACAUUCUGCAGUGGUAAGUUUCUUUGAAUAGUUUUAUUUUCUUAACUACAUCAAUUACAUUAUAAUAUAUCUUAAUCUUUUACUCUUCUAAUAUAAUGUUUUAGAAACUUGUUUGACCGAACCCUGUAUAUAGUAGCCAUGGUUAAUCCCUAAGAUUGCUUUUCAACCUCAUUUAAACAACCAUUUGUUGAAAAUGCUAAAAUAUGGAUUGCACUUCUAAUUUUAUUUGAGUUUCUCCAAAUUUAGUUUGACAUGACUUUGAAUUAUCUAAGGGUAUGUUUGAGCUAAGUUUUUAGAGGGAAAUGGAAGGCUUUAGAAUCGUCUCACAAAUGUAUAUUAUUAUUCUCAAGCCUUCUAUUUCUAUUCAUUUCCUUCCAAAACUUAAUUGAAGCAACACAUAAUAGGAGAAGACCCAAUUAUAUGGAUUGAACUUUGUUGACAUGAUAUUUAUUGGGCACAUUCAUGUUAUUGUUCUUACUUAAGUAGGUGAUAUGAAACUCCAUAUUGUUGUUUGUGACAUGCUCCCUCCUUAUGGUAAAAUUCCCUCUUUUUUCAUAUUGUCAUUCAACUUCUCCAACGGUGGAACCAUGAAUCAUCCUUGACUAUCUUGUCUACUUGAUCUUUAAAUCACUUCUUCUAUGUAUGAUUAUAUAUUUCAUUUAGUAUAUAUAUUAAUUUGCUAACCUUUUCUUAUCUAUUUCCUAGGUAUAUUCAAGCAACAACAUUUUUAAAAAUUUAUCAACCUUGUCAAUGGAUUUGGAUUUGAACCACAUAAGAGAUGCACAUGAUCUUUAUUCUGCAUUACAAUUAUGUACUUCUCUACAAGUUCUUGAAAUUUCUCUACCAAUAUGUAAUAUUAUCCUUGAGUUACAAUCCUUAUAUUAAUAUUUUGUUGGGGAAAUUUCAUUAUUAUCCAAGUAUAUAUGAUGCAUAAUAUACUUUUGCUUCACAGGAUAUUGAGAAUCCAAUUAUUGGUAGCCCUAAUGACUAUGAUUUUCCAUAUCCUAUCUCAAUGUUUUGGGAGAAACAAGAAUUGUGCUACUGUGUACAUGAAAAGCUGAAGUUUGUGUAGAUAAAGGCAUUCAAAGGAAAUGAACUAGAAGUAGAAUUUGUGAAGUACCUAAUAGCAAAGGCCACAAUGAUGAAGAAAGUCACCAUAUUAUGCAAUACCUUAACGGAAGAUGAUGAAUAUUUGUUGUCACUACCCAAAGCUUCUAACAACUUUCCAUCAAUUUGAAGGUUAAUACAAGUAAUAUUAUGAAUUGAUACUUUUUUUAUGAAAGGGAUGUUUAUCCUUUAACAUUCCUUAUUAGGCAUGUUUCUUACUUUCUUUGUUUGGUUUAUUUCAAUAAUUUUAAUCUCCUACUGAUAGAGAGAAACUUGAUAUGAAUAACUUCAGGAAGAAAUUUAUCGCUUCAAUUUAAAUGUCACUGAAAUGUGAACAAUAUAUUUAUAAUAAUUUGGGGUUUCUCUUUAGUGAAAUAUUAUGCAAUGUGAUUUUAAUAUUCUACAGGUGAAAAUGAGUCAAGUUAAGAUCAACUCGAUUUGUUUAGGAUCGACUUGAGUCGAGUUUUGAGUUAUGUUCAAUGCUGAAUUAUGUUUUCAGUUCGACUUUGGCUCAAUUAAAUUUUACGAACUUUCGAGCGGGUUACUGAGCUCAAAUCUAUAUCGCUCACUAGCAUAAUAUAGAGAAAAUACUGGUGGAAUAUACAUGUACAUGUUUGAUAAAGUUUGUGAAACCCUUAUUAUACAUAUGUCACUCAUCAAUCAUCUCCUCUCAUAUCCUUAACACUUCCUAUACCUCUUGAAGCCCUCCUCCAAUGCCCCCUGAUUGGAUCUCUUACCUUCCUUUCCCUUCAAUUUAUAUUAUUUAAUUUUUAGAACUCUAUAUUGUCCUUUUCUCUCCAGACUAAUCUUAAUCCUUACAUCGAUAACCAAAACUCUAUUUUGGAUUGUACGUCAAGCUCUAUUAAUGUAUGAAUUUGUAGUAUACAAAGAGGAAGGAGCAUCUAUACUCAACCCUAAUUUACAGUCAUACACAUCUCAUUUCUCGAUCUUGUAUUACUAGUGUACCACCACUUAAAACUUGAAGCUUCUAAUUCCGUUACCAUUUUCCCAACAACUAAGUUCCUUGUGGGCAUAUAAAAUUGGUCAACCUCAUAAUCACUGUGUCUACUAUUUACAUUGAUUUACAUGUGAGAGUGUGUAUAUUUCAUAUUUAUGUUCAUAUCCUAGACUGACAAAAUAAUUUCUUUACAUGUAUGUUUAACAUAAGCAUUGUAACCCUUGCUUAUUAUUUACUAAAUUUAAGCGAUAUUGGAGUGGUCUUUGCUCCUUUAAUACUAUAACCAACGAUACAAUGCUUUCCUUUUAAGCAAUGACCUAGUAUUAAUAUUAUCAAAUGACUGAUUUAUAUUAUAGAUAUUUAACAAAGUUCUAUAUUUUUUUAGACUAUGUAACAUAAUCUCUACAUUUUAUCGUGACGUUCCAAUAAUUUUAAUAGGUAUUACAAUUUCAUUAAAUUAAGACAAGGUUGAGGAUAAAAUUGGUGAUAAUUGAUCUGAACUCCUCCUUGAUUGCCCUCUAAUAGUGUUGAAUCUAUAUCCUCUCUAUUAAUGGAUUGGAUGGUGACAUAUAACAAUAUGAACUUAUAAUUAUUUUUAAACAAAAUUAUAAAUCUUCAAAUUCAUUAUAGCCUUGUAUUGGACUCUCUUGUAUAGAGGAUCUAGACAGCUAAAUGCUAUGAUUUUUUUAUGAUUUAUGAGUGUUUAUAUAGAGGUAAUCAUAUUGGUUAUUAUCAGCCACUAACUCAAACCAUGUUAGAGAUAUAUACCAAUUAAAUAUUUAAAUAUAUGACCCACCGAUUAAAAUGGCAAGAUGUAUGUGAAGAAUGUUUACAGAUUUUGAUAGGAGGUACGAUAAUAAUGCCGACUUUAUUGCACUGCACAUGAUUGGCAUGGUUUCAUAUUAAUUGAUCGAGCAUUGUCAAUGAGUAAUCAAAAAUGUUAAGUAAUAAAAAAUGUAAAGUCAUUCUAUAUAAUUGUAUCUUUUUGUUUCUUUAUGUUAUUUCAUUUUGUAAAUUAUAAGUAGAUUUUUGCACAAAUGAUACAACUUUAAAUUAGUUUUCAAGAGUUUGUUUAAUCAAUAAAGUUGCCAAGAAACCACACCCUUUUCCUGCCCAUUACAAAUAAAACUAAAAAAGUAUCUAUCAUAAAAAAUAAUAUUAAACUAUAAAAUGUAUAUUUUUAUUUAUAAAUUAAAAGGGAAUGUUAUUAUUAUAAACUUUGUUCUAAAAUUAAUGAUUUAACAUAUUGUGAAGUGAUAAAUUUAGCUUUCCAAUAUUAAAUAUAUUUGUUUAUAUUUCUUAAACAAUAUAGUCAUGACAUAUGCUAAUACGAUUUUUUAAGUUUAUGAUAUGUUGGUUUUACAUGUAUAUAUGCAAAAUUACCACACGACAUACAUACAAAAUAAACAUGCAGACUAUGCAUAUUAGUAAUAAUUAGGGAGAAAUAAAAUUAAUUAAUGGAAUGACAAGAAAAUGCAUUUUCUUUUGCACAUUAGUAUUAAGUAAUUAUACAUUCAUUAUACAAACUAUUCUUAAUACUUAAGAAUCUUAAAAGACAUGUAUAAAGAUAUAAUGUAUUAUAUGUAUGUAUGCAUGGACGACUGUUUUUGUUAUGAUGACAAGUGCAUUUAUGGUUACUGUACCACAAGCAUAAUUGCAUGAACAGUAUGAACUGUCACAUUUUUAAGCAAAAGAUAUGAAUAAUAAAUCAUAAAUUUAGCAAAAUAUGAAAGACUAUAAAGAAGGAAGUGAGUCAGUUUUCUGAGGGCAUUCAAUACAUGGUCUUGAGACUCUGAGUUUUAGAUAUAUAUGACUACCUUAUGACAAUGACGUUCGUAGAGGAAUUUGAAAUUUUGAAUCAACUAAUGUCACUAUAUACAAUCAUAUAUAAAUGAUUAAAAAUAAAAGAUAGUUAUUAAUUAUAUGAUAACCAUAUGUAUAUAUAUUUUAAUUUUUACUGUUCAAAUAAGAUAUAAUGAUCAACAUUAACUAUUCUUAUUUUUCACCUUUAAUAUCGCCACAAUAGGAUUGAGACAAAAAAAGUUGACUCCUAAGUGACAUAUGGUUAGUAGAUUUGGCUCUCAACCUUAAGUCCAUGGUUGGAAGUUGGUACAAAGAGAAGACAGAAAAGUAGCAAAAAAAUGUUGGGACAAAAGAAAAACUUAAAAUAAAACUUCAAAAUUUUAAGCACUUGGAUCAUUGAUUACAGCAACUGCAACCCCUCAUUGACUACAACAAAUUCAGAUCGGUUGGGAAAGUUGCAUGGCUAAGUCAAUGUCAAUCAAUUCUGAGAAUAAGAUAUAGCUUUAUGUCAAAUAAUCAAUUUUUUAUGUCACUGAUUAAUGAAUUAGAAUAUAUAUAUAUACAAUUUUUUUAUUAGGAAAAUUUUUAUUUAUGCAUAAAUUUUUUGUUUGUGUAUUAAUAUUAUAUCUCAUUUGACACUCAAAAAUUAAUCAAUCAUUUUCUAAAUUGAAUCUGUAUAUCAAUAAAGUUUAUAUCAUUAAAGUAUAUGAUUACUUUCCCAAAAGUGUCGUCACAGAAAUCAAAUCAUAGAUAAUAAGAUUGAGAAUGAUGGAUAAUUGAGUUGGUCAGGGUCAAAGAAAUUCCUAAAAUAAUUGAUAUUAGAGUCAUGAGCAAUUGUUUAAAUAUGCUUUAGGGAGUAGUAGCUUAAAACCUUUUGGUUUUUCUAAAAAAUCUAGUUUGACCUUAUUACACUAAACUAACCAGAUUAACGCACGGUUGUAAAACAAAAUUGUAUUUAAAGAUUAGAGUUGAUGAUGUGUGUAGCUUAAUUAGAUUUCUCUAGAUGUAAGCUACAAAAAAACUACAAAAAAUAAAGAAUGGAUGAAAUAUUUAAAUUUGCUUAACAAAUAAAAAUAAAAGUAGGAAGUUAACCAAAUAAAUCCAAUAUGUUGAAAUGGAAGUUAAAGCUUGUAGUGUCAGCAACAUGGGAGGAAUCAUAGUUCCAUACUAUGCCGAAUUCAGAUGAAAAUAAAAUGAAUCCACAGGUGGACAACUUCACCACAUCUGGCUUAAUUAUCAUGAGGACAAGUAAGUGCUUUUGAGGUUCCCUUUGCUCUUAUGCAGACAUGCAAUACCAACCAUGUCAUUAUGUUACUUGGUACAACAAUUUAAUGACUUUGGCUAAGUCAUACCUAGUAACAUGCUUGGUUUUGAGUAUUUCAUUAAUAAUUUAUUGUGCAUUUAAAGCAAAAAGUCCACACUCCUCACUCUUCACCUAAACAUCUAACAUACCCAUUGAUGGAUGGUUUUGUUGUUUUGAUGUGUGCCUUUGUGGAUUGCAUUUAGUUAGACCUAAAAUAAGCCUUUUAGUAUAGUCCACUAGCCAAAAGGGACUAGUGGUGACACACACAAAAUAGACCUGAUUAACAAAUAUAACAUUUAGAAUCAUAAGUGAUUAUAACCAGUAAAGGAGUAAAUUAUCACCUCCCAUUCUUCCACUGUUUCUCUGUUGAAUCUUUUCCCUCACUGGUAAAAAUGUUCUUCAUCUGCUUUAUGCUGGUAUUUAAAAUAUAAGGUUAACAAUCUCACUCAGAUCAAUUCAUUUUCUGAUGAAUAAAUAAAAACUCAAUCAGAUCAUUUUCAUUGGGUUGAACAGGAGCAGCAUGAAAGCCUUUAUGCAACUAUUAUAUAUAUAAUAAUGCCUUUAUGCAACUAUUAUAUAUAUAAUAAUUGCAUGAUUAGAGAGUAGGAUAAGAACUAACAAGUAAUGGAGUUAGUGAAUGGUGUAAGGUCUAGCUGAAUACUCAAAUCUUAUAUAAGGUCAAAGACUAUGGUCUGUUUGCAAGUUGGUUUUAGGAUGACGAUGAAUGAAAAUUAAAGUUUAAAAGUCAUCACAUACACUUGCGAGAUAAUUCUGAAGUUUUCAUUUUUCCCCCUCUAGAACUCAACUCACAAAUAGAUCCUAAGGCACAUUCAUAAAAUUGAUUCUAAGGCACAUUGCUAGGAGAGAACACUUACACACCAAAAGGACUUUAUAUAAAAUGCACAAGCAAAACUCAUCGAACUUGCGCCUUAUAGUCUAAUGUGCAUCAAUCUAAACCAAAUUCUAAUUUUAAUUCAUUAAUUAAGUAUAAUAAUCUCAAUCAUUCAAGAUAAUUUGCCAUUGUCUUUAGAAAUGUAAAAUGCAUUCAAAAAAUCCUCUAUAGGGAUUAAGAGAAUUCCUUGGAAAUUGAUCGGUUAGGGGAAUUUAAAAUAAUUUUUAUUUUUAUCUUUAUGUUGUUGUAGUGUGUGGGCUUGUUGGGACAUCUACGAGAAAAUGAAUAACGUAAAAGAGGCCAUCAAACGUUGACCCAAUAUAUAAGGAUUUGGUUCAGCUAAUAAGGUUGUAUUUAAUCAAAUUAUGUAGACUAUAUAAAAAUGCGCAAAAGUUAUUUAGUUGAUACACCUUGACUGAAUAUUACCUUUUAAAUUAAGAGUAAAUACUCAUUUCAGUCCUUCAUAUUUUUUCGACAUUACUAAUUUAGUUCUUCAGGAAAAAAGAUCUAAAAUGGCUCUAAAAAUUUCAAAUGUGAAUUAAAUUAAAAAACACAUGUUGAUUCUAUAAGCUGAAUGGCAGUAAAAGUUAUUUUGAGGUUAUUGAGACCUUAGCGAGGUCUCAUUUUGUUGAUAUAGGCUACAAGUAUGCUGGUAAGUAACAAUAUUUGACAUUUUUUAUUUAUAUAUAUAUUUCCUUUUGUAACUAUUGAUUUUUCUCAAAUAAGAUAUUUAUGAUGAUAGUGUAAUACAUAUAAAUAUAUAAUAGGUGGUGUUUGACAUGUCAAUGAAACAUGAUGGAACAAGAUGUUAUGUUUCCUAUUCCUGUUUGGGCUCAUAUACAAAUUGUCUGAAGCCCACAGUUGUUGUGGCCUAUGAUACAUGAGGCCGAAGGAAAACAAAUUCCAGCAUUAUAGUUUAUAGAAGAAACACAUUACCUGUUAUCACUUAUGAUAUUAAUUUUCAAAUGUUUGAUGAUGUGAACGACACUUAUUUAAAGGGAUAGUUAGAUACUCUGAGAGAAAUUAGUUCCUUACCAAAAAAUAGUGAAUGAAUACUCUUAGUUAUCCAAAAAAAAUACUUAUGAUAUUAAUUUAUAAUAUUAAAUUUAUUAAAUUAAACAAAUAACAAAUAAUAUUUUUAUCAGCUUUGUUUCUUUACCGUUACUCUGCUGCGAUCCACAGAGGAGUAGAAACUAGUUAGCCUUAUACUUUACACCAAACUCAAUAUAAUAAAAGUAUCAUUUUUUAAUACAACCUAAACGUCACACCUUUUUAAAGCUUAAACAAAUUUUCCAUAAACUUCAAAGCUCAAAGUCCAAAUAGAAAACUGACCCAACAACCAACUGGAACAGAAGAAAAAGAACCCAAACUUUAAAAACUAACAAAAUGCCACAAAUCAAAGAACUUCUAGUGGAACACCUAACAUUUCUGCAUUUUCAAGAGCAAAAGAUGAGAACUUGCAAGAAGUUUCUUAAUUAAUGCAAUAUGGUAGAAAAUAGAAAUGAAAUAUGCUGAUCAUGAUAACUAAAGGCAUAGCUUAGCAUGGUAGUUUUUUAAUUCAGUUUUUUUAACAACAAAAAAAACACUGCUUGGGCUUGAAAAGCUUUGAUCUUCAUGUGCAAUGUUGGAUAUUCAUGCACAAGAAGAAUGCUUGCAUGAUAGUGUAAGGAAAGUUAUUAGAGAAAGCUGAAAGCUUUAAAGAGAAUAUGCAGAUAGGUUCAAGGGUGGUUCAAAAUCAGCAAAUCUACCACAGUAAUAUUUGUAAAACAAAGUAACCAGAAGCACAUAAUGUAUGAAAGUUCAAAGGAUUACUAUCUAUAGCAAAUUGAUGUACAACAAAUUUUUGCUCAUACGACAUCAAUUACUAUACAAAAAUUCAAUAUUAUAGUACAUAUAUAUAUAAUAAACUAUCAGGACCAUUCGGCUUCAUUCCCUAUACCAAACUUCAGGUAUAUAAAUCCAUCACUUCAAUGACUUCAAGUGAUCAGAAAUCUUUCAUGUGUUGUGCAAGAGGAUUGGAUCCUUGCAGCAGGCACCAUUAGUUUCUCAAAACCUGAAAUUCAUGAGAACUUGUUAGGAAAAAAUUCAAAAGUUGAUCACAUCAAAAUAGUAAUGCAAGGGGAUAAAAAUUCAAGAACAGGUUGCUGCCUUUAUAAAAAAAUUAGCAGAAGGAAAAGAGGGACACAAAAAGGAGGAUAAGAAAUCCUUCAAAGCAAUGAAAGCAGAGCACAUAAAUUGAAACAAAAAUAAAAAAGUAAAAAAUGCAGCAAGGCUAGCCUAAAUUUGAAAAAUGGCAAAGACCCUUGAAACAACCAUUUGCAGAACACUAGAGAGGUCACAAACAGAAUCCUGUCCUAAAGUAUGUUGAGGAGAAGAGAGAAUUUUUUUGGUACUACCAAGGGUAUCCCUAUCACCUUUUUGGAUAAGAAACUAAUCUCUUUCGGGUUCGUGGCUAGUAUGCUGAGAAGAGAGAAUGUAACCAUUAAGCAUAGAAAAUGUUUGCUCACAGAAAAGUAAUAGAUUUAACAAACAAUUUAAUCAUUUGGUCCUUGUCCCCACUUAUAUAAACAGACCAUGUGAAUUAUUAAACAGCAGACUGCAUAAAAUAUAAGAAAUUGUGACAUGUUCACUAUAAAAUAACAUCCAAAAUCAUAGUACAAUAUCAAAGCUAUUUCAUCAAAGUACAGAGCGAACCAAAGCUAAGUAUGAUAUAUUACAUAACAAAGAUGCAAAUUGGAGUACAAAUGGUAUUUGUGGGAUUACAAUUUUUUAUGCAAAAAACACUAUGAGCAAGGUACUAUUCUAUCCGAAGAGCUAAAAUUGUUCAGGCAUAAAAACUGGAGUAUAUUUGUAAUGACAUAUGAGAAACCCUUUUAUGGGUAAUACAAAAAUUAGCUGAAGUAAACAAUGUUGUUGACAACUUGAAAAAAACUUGGCUCAAAAUGCAUAACAAAAAACAUAAUAAAGUAACAUCGAAACUAUAUUUGUAACGAUAUUUUAAAAUCUGAAUUGUUAAAAAUUGAUUUCCCAUAUGUCGUAAUCCUGGGUCGCUCCUGGCCUCUCCAGUAAUGGAGAAGAUCCAGACUCAAAAUAUAAUACCUUAAAUCAGGUCCCAUUAGGUUUCUUAGAUCAAGUAAGAGCAACCAUUAAGACUUGUACAACUUCAUGUAAAUGACUCACUCUACCUGCAAACAUCAAUGACUACACAAAAACAUCCACAGUAGCAUAUUGAAAAAUUAUUGGAAAUCCAAAUCAGAAAUGCUGGUGAUAAAACCUAUCAAAAAAGAGGCUUUAUAGUUUAUAUUAAAAUAAAAAAUACAUUUUUUAAGCAUGAAAAGCAGAAGCAUAUGAGAGAAAAAAUAGCAAGCACCCAUAAAUGCAAUGAAGAAUGAAAAAAUAAAUAAAAAAAGAAAAAUGGGUGAGAAGGAAGGAGGGUAAAAAAGGUACCUUUAUGGAAGAAAGUAUAAGGUGAGUAAGUGGGCAUGGAGAAUGGCAUUGCAAGAAGAGUGAAGAGAGAGAAGAAGAGGAAAAUGGAAGGUGAGAGAGAGAAAGAGAGAGUUAUAUGACAGGGGUGAGUGAAGGUGAAGUGAAUAAAGGAGAGAGAGAAGGGGGUGUUUGUUUUUUGAUGUUUGUUGUUUUUAGCGUAAAUCGAGGUAAGGUGUUUGGUUAUAAGCUGUGAAAAGCCCCACCACCACAUCAAAGGAUGUUCGUACUAUACACAUUAUUUCUUAUUGAUAAAACAAAUAAAUCUAUAUUAAUUUUAUAUUUACUGACCAUGAAAUGACAUACAAAGUUAUAUAUAUUUUGAGAUAAAUAAUAUGCUUACUAUAUAAAGAAUAUAUCAUCCUAAAAAUUCAGUUAUAGAGUUGGCAAAAUAAGGAUUUGUUCAUAAUUUGUGCUUCUCAUAUGAGUUUUUUAACCGGUAGGAUGGACUAUGGAUAUUAUGAUCUUAAUAAUUAAGUAUUAUGUUUUUUAUUUUUUAUAAAGAUAUAUAAUGUUAAAUUAUUUGAAUUAAUACAUUAUUAAAUAUAAUUGAUAUAGUUUUAUUUUUUUAAUUUUGUUUAAUUUUUUAUUUCUCAUUAUAUAGCGAGUGAUAUACAAAUCCACCCUAUACUUAUUUAGACGAACAUUAGGAAGAUACAACCACGACAAACAAGACAGCUCAAAUUGCCAAUAUUACUGCUAUUCUUAUACCAUGUUACAUGUAGUCCUUGUUCUGGAUUGACAACUUAUUAUGCUCUAUUCUGCUCUGCCACUAUUGGUUUUAUUAGAACUAGUGUGUCGGCAGUCACUCCGUGUCUGCUGACCUACAUUUUUACUUUUUAGUAUUGAAUAUUUAAUUUUUAUAUAUUUCAUUUUAGAGAACUAUAUCAUUUUUUUCGUACAUGAUAUUAUAAUUUUUUGAUAAAAAUAUAAAAUGAAGUGAGAUAUUAUUAAAAAAUGCAUUGGUAGUUUAACAUAUUUAGUAAACGUAACUUUCUCUAACCUUCAUUUAUAUUUUUUAUUGUAUUAAAAAAUAUUAUAAUAAUUAUCAAUUAUAAGGGCAAAAUAGGUAAGUGAAAAGCAUAUCAUGUAUGUAGUUAUAAUAUGUUUUGACUUUAUAUAUAACUAGUUUGUAGUAGUCAAUAUUGUAUGAUACUACGUAUUUAAUUUUUAUAUAUUUUGUUUUUUAAAAUUAAAAUGUAUUUGUUGUGUUUUGUGUACUAUUAUACUUUUUUUGUAUUUAUGAUAAUAUUUACUUUAAGGUGAGAGAUGUGAAUUAAUGUGUCAGGGAUAGUUAUUUAGAGUUAUAUGUUUUUUCGUAAAAAUUAAAUAAUGUUGAUGAGAAAAAAUGAAAUGCAAAUUAUACUAUGGUAGAAGUUACACCAUGUUUUACUUUUUAUAUAUACUAGUGUGUACAGGCACUUCCUGCCUGCCGACGAAUAUUGUGUGAUACUACAUAUUCAAUUUUUAUAUAUUAUAUUUUUGUGUGUGUUUAUGAUAAUGUUUAAUUUAAGGUGAAAUAUGUGGUUAAUUAAUAUAUUGGUGGUAGUUGCUUAGGAUUAUAUAGUUUUUUUUGUAAAAAUUAAAUAAUAUUAAGGGCAAUAUAGGAAAUGAAAAUUACACCAAGAAGGAAGUUAUUUCAAGUUUUGGCUUUAUAUAUAGUAUAGAUAGAUAUAGAUAUAUAGUAUAGAUAAUGUUUAAUUUAAGGUGAGAUAUGUGGUUAAUUAAUAUAUUGGUGGUAGUUGCUUAGGAUUAUAUAGUUUUUUGUAAAAAUUAAAUAAUAUUAAGGGCAAUAUAGGAAAUGAAAAUUACACCAUGAAGGAAGUUAUUUCAAGUUUUGGCUUUAUAUAUAGUAUAGAAGAUAAGGUGAAUAACAUUAUUGUCUGUUUUUAGACUUUACCUCACAUCUUUCAAACUUUUUUUAUUUGAAUAUAGCCAAAUAAAAAAUAAUCAUACAUUUCUGUCGGUCCCGAUCCAAAUAAGAUUUAUAUAUAAGACGUAAAAUCAUAUUCUUAUCAUGGUGUUUGCUGUCAGGAAUAUUUUUAUGUUUCUGAACAUUAAAAAACAUAAGCAGGGUCAGAUUUGAUAGUAUUUGGAAUAAAGAAUAUUCUUACAUUCUCCAACAUCUCAUUUGAAAAUGUGACUUGCCUAUAUGGAUAAAAUAUUAAGAAAAAAAUGCUAACAUAAAUGUCACUCAUCAGAAAAUGUGAACAGGCAAAUUUGGAUUCCAUUUAGAUGUCAAAAUGUGGGAGUAAAAUGAUUUCUAUGUCAUUUUCCUUUUACUUUUUUUAUUUUCAUGGUUCCAAAUAAAGUUAAUUUUAGAAAAUCUAUCAUAAUUUUAAGAAUCUUUUAUAUUAAACUAGCAUGAAAAUGAAACUUUGCUAAAUCAUGCCAACUAUCAAAUCAUUUGUCUAUCUCUUUCUUUAGACAUGUUCAUUCAAUGAUAAAAUUGUUGACCAAAAUAAUCAUAUAUUAGCAAGUCGAGUUCAGGCUUUAAACUACAAGAGUAAAAAUAAAAGGGCAACUAACUCCACGAGAAUCUCACCUGGUGGGAUAUGAGGAGGAUAGAUGAUAUAAUCUUACUCUCACAAGCAACACUAUUUCCAUGAUUUGAACUCAUGAUCUUCAAGUCAUAAUACAAAAAACUAACUUUACCAUUGCAAUGAUAUUCAUCCUCUUAAUAAUAAGAAUAUAAUAAAAUAUAAAAUCUAGUUGGUGACCUGGAGUGGAAUAAAUGUCUGCACAACACAUCAAGUGUCAACCUUGAGAAAAUCCAGGCAAUGUGUAAAUCAGUCUAGAGCUAGUUGUCUUCUUUUAUUUUUCGUGAUAAUAUAAGAAGGUAACAAUUCAUUCAUCCUUUCAACCCCAUUUACUUACAUUUUUUAGAAAUUGCAAUGCUAAACCAAACUUAGGAAACAAAGCAAGGAAUGAAUGGCACAAAGAUGAGUGGAACCUAGUAAACUUCACCAGCCAUGUUGCUAGUGGGGAUUCUUUGUCGUUUCUCCACAUAUGCAGAAGGAAACCAUCCUGCUCUACCAUUGCAUUCUCCUUCUGACCACCCCAUUGCAUUCACCUGGAUAAAACAUUUACCAAGAAGACCUAAGAGAUUAAAUCCGCUUAAAACAAAUUUUAUUAUGACAUUGCCAGAAGCAACGGUUAAAAAGGGUAGUCCAGUGCACAAGUUCCCACAAUAUGGAGUGGGAAGAUGGUAUAUAUAUAUGCAACCCUACCUUCACAAACAUCUAAAGGCCUGAUUGAGGAGAUUCAUAUGGAAAAUAAUAUAUAUUAGGAUGAGAUGAAAAACACACCUUUCUCACAACAAUAAAAUCACCCUUUGAGAAAUUUAGUUCCUUUUCUGAUUCAGCACUAUAAGGAUGCAUUGCCUGCAAGAGAUGCACCAAAGAUCAGUUAAUGAAGGAAUAAACUGCAGAGCCUUUUUCCGUAAGACAUAAUGCAUUAUUCACAUUGUUAGAAUCAUAAGGUUCCAUAUUAGAAGUUCAUGAUUCAAUUUGAUUUGAUGUUUAAGCAAAUUAGACUUUAGUCAGCCUACUGAAAGAGAGAUUGGCUGCAAUCAUGAAAACCACAUGAUUCAUAUCACCUUCCCACCUUUACUUUAUCCAAUUGAGAAUCCUCAGAUUUCUAUAUUAUACCAUUCACAACAACUGGCUUAUUACAAAAUUGAUAUUUCGAAAAUAUUUGGACUAUAUGCCACAGCGAUGCACUUCUACAACAUUCGUUACAGUGAUACACGUCUGACUCAAACAAAUUACAAAUGAAUUUUUUGCCUGACAUGGGUGCAAUAUUAUGAAUUAUGAUUUUUCUUCUGAAAAUUUCACUUUGAUAUACAUUCGGUGUCCUACAAUUUAGCGCGACCGUGGAACAGUCAUGUGUUUGUCACUGUUUGUGCUUCAUAAUUUGAAACCAAGGGGACUAAGGGAGGGUUUACUCUUUCUUUAUUUCAUGAUAUGACAUAUCAUAAAAUUGUUAUUAAUAUCAACCAAUCUAGUUUCUGUUUAAUUCAUGCAAUCAGUCAAUUUCCUCACACAGUAAGAGAUUAGACCUUAAUGACUAGAGUAAUGAAUCAAUAAAAACGUAUGCAAAUUAAGCAAUUAGAAACAAAUGAAUGAAAUUUAAAAGAAAUUAUCUAUAUUUUUCCCAAAUCAUGAAAAAGGUAAAAGUUAGGAAUGUGUAGCAUACUUCAGCCAAGAAGUACAUUGUUUUCCCUGAGCCAGUCUCAGAUGUAACUACGGGAGGAGCAGAUUCUUUCUUCUGUCUAUCUGAAACGAUCUGAGAGAAAAAACCAAUGAGAUGAAAAUCUAUUGCUAUUCAAAGAAUGAGCCCAAUGCAUAGAAACAACAAAAAUAUUAAUCACAAUAAUUAUUUCAACAAAAAAAGUCAAAACUUCAAGACAGUUAAUUCUCACCUCAGCUUCAAUUUCACCAAGGAUAGCUGCAACUCUUAAAUGAAAAGUCUUUUCUCCUUCAACCUAAAAUCAUAAGCACAAUCUUUAAAAGUAAAACUUAAAUCAAUUACAAGUUUGGCAUGACUUGAUAUAAUCAUUUCUAUUGUACCAUAGCAACAAGCCUUUGAAAAGUCAGUCUCUGCUGUUGUGCAUCAGUAGCAGCCAAUGCAGCUGCGGCUUCUUUUCCCAGAAUUGCCAUGUUUAAUUUCAGUUCCUGCAUCUUUGCUUCUGCAGCAUGGAGUUUGGCAACUUGUUCAGCCGUUGGAGAUUCCCGGACCCGUGCUUGUCUUCUAGCAAUCUCCUCCCUCUGAUUGAAUUUUGAAUACCAAAUUGAGUUAUAACUUACAAGAUUAAGAUGAAAUAAGUAAGCAUCUUAGACUCUGAAGUAAAUGUUACAGCAGAAACAUGUGUAGGGAUUGCAAAUCCACUCCAAAUUUUGACUGACCUGUGUCUCUGCUUCUUGUCGCAUUCGGCUGUACCGUUGAGCGAGAUGGCGAGCAUCCUCCAAAGGUGCACUGGUGAUCAUCGAUCUCAAAGGGUCCAAAACCUGGAAGUUGAAACCAUUACUUCAUGUUUCUUUCUUCCUAGUUUUAAAAUAAUAAAUUACAUUAACCACCCCAUAGGAUUUCAAAUAUUACAUGGACCUCUUCUAUAGCAUCAGAACAUACACAUUUUCCUUAUAUUGGAUUUUGACCUGUACUGAAGGAUGUCAAGUAAAUAUUAAAAAUAGGGGAUUAUGUCAAAGUAAUAUUUAAAAACAUCAAGAGAGGUUAGUAUAAAUUGUAUAAUUUGCUCUAGUAUAAAACGGCUUUAUAAAAGCAAAUUGGAAAUUCUAUCUUCAAAGCUAGCUGCUCUAUAGCAUGAUCUAUUUGAUACUCUAAUCUAGAGAUUCAGAACAGAAUAUUUUAAACAUUGAUAUGCUUUAUUCAUCUAAAUUAAAACUAAAUUUCAUGCUAAAAAGGAAGAGUGAUAGCGUAAAGUGUAAGUUUUAAAAACAAGUGAUUUGAAGAUGGCACUUUUUAGUUAUUUAUGAAAAAAAUUAUUUUCUGUUUGCAAACAGUUACAAAAACUUACUUUUACUUUCUCUCUAUUCUAUUGUAUCUCUCAGGAAAAUGAUUCUUUAAGAAACUACUCAUUUCAGCUUCUGAUUUACAACCAAAAAACUGACUCUUUUAUCCAACAAAGUGCACAUGUUAGAGGAGUUAUUUUUUUGAUAGAAUGUCUUUCUUGCCAAUAAAGCACACAAAGAAACAUUAAACUAAACAAAAUAGUUGAAACAGCAAUAUGGAAAUUUUACAUUCCUAUGUGGCUCUUACUAAAAUAUUCCUUCACAACUUCACAUUUUACACAUCAAUUCCCUGAUUGGCAUAAAAAGGGCACCCCAGUGCACAACACUCUCAUCAAAUGGGGUAUAGGGAUAAAUGUAUGUAGCCUUAUCCCACAAGUACAGAGGUUGUUUCCAGGAUUUGAACUUAGGACAGAGUUCACAAGGCAAACAACAUUACAGUUGCGUAGAGCCUUACCCUCAACAUCGUUUCCUUAUCUUCUUUGUGAAAAAUUACAUAAUCAACAAUUCAAUCUCUUGGCAACUGGCACACAAAAUUUGAACAUUUUGGGACUUAAUAUUGACUUUAGGAGAAACUUUUGGCAUGAUAACAUAAUAUUGUAAAUCAGUAUGGCAAAAGUCGCUUAUGAACAAUGAUGUUGAAUAUGUAGAAUUUUAUGAUAUCACAAUUUCAACUUUUCAAGACUAGAAUAAACCAAGAGCUAGGCAUACUCGAAUGAAUUAAAUUGUGGCUAGGAGAUAAAACUAAUAGAUUAUCGUGUUGAAUUUGCAUUAAAACUAAUACACAUAGGCAAAAUAUGAAAAGUCAACCUGGGAAGAUAACAGCUGAUUUAAUUCUUCUUGCUCCUUCUCUACAUGUUUGCGAGCAUCACCAUAUACUGAUGCAGCCUUAGCCAAUAUGUUAUCAAUGCUGUUCUCUGCUCCAUAUUUACAGCAAUCCUCUGAAAGUUUCGUUCCUGUCUACCAUGGACACUAUCUAUAAGCAUCUACUAAAAAACGUAGGUCGACAAAAAAAUGCCAGGUAUACGCUAUCAUGACUUGUGAGAGUAAAAUGAAUUGUCAGAAGAAAAGAAACAAAAAAUAUUUUUCACCUGCUUCAAUAUGCCUAUAACCUAUAGCUGUAAAUGUUUCGGCUGCUUUAACAAUUUCCUUUUGGAAGUCCUGGAUCAGCAGAAGAUAGUUUCAAACAUAUCAAUAAACAGAAGCAACAUAAAAAAAUCCCAGUAAUUGUAAAACAAAUUUCAUUAACAAAUAUAUUAUAAUAACUCUGUGUCGUUCACAAAGCCAUCACAGGCAUAUUUACAACUACUCCCACACACCACUUGUAAGUCCCUCGUACCGUCACCACCUCACUUAAGUUUAAGCUAGUUAAUAUACAUCCCAUAAGUCAAGUGUACUCUAUAAGGAAUAAGUUCAAAUGUGUCUACAUAGCUACUUUAUGCCUUAUGCAGUUUACACCUCCAGGUGCUUUGUGAUGACAUAAUUCCGAGAUUACUGUGUUAGUUGUGGGUUAAUGUCCUGUUGUGGCAAGGCCUAUGUGGGGUUCAAAUCAAAUUGAAACCGGCCCUGGCUGCUAUUACCUAUUGGGCUUACAGAUAUAAAAUUGCACUCUAAAAUACUUGAUCCAACAAAUGAUAUCAGAGCAUGCACUCAAAAAGGCAUGACAGAUGUAGAAGGGGGAUUGUUGGUUGUGGCCAGCAUCCUACCUUGGCAAGCCCGGGUCAAAGUCAAACUGAAAGUGUUGAGUGCUGUUAAUAAAGGCGUGUGCGACUAAUAACUAUAGCUUUUGACCUAAUGGUAAGCAUUUGAGCCUAGACAAUGAGCCUGAAGCUAAAAUGUAUAGAUAUAACUGCAAUUAAGACGUAAAUAACUCCUGUACAUACUGCCAGAACCAAGCUUAACACACAACAGAUUAAGAGAUUAUUCUACAAAUAUUAUAAGACGAAUACGAGUCCAAAAAUUUGGCUGCGAGCUCCCACAAUAAUGUUACUUGCCAUGGAUAGACUUCCCUAAUUCACAAUAUUACAUACUAUUUUGAGCUUAUGGAUUGGGACAUUCAUUGUAGCUUAAAACAUGGCAAAACCAAUGAUUAAUCUAAAUAUGACAAAAAUCAAACAGAAAAUGUUCACCUUCCCUGUACGGGUGGCCCUAUAGAGCUUCUCCAAUUGUUGAUGUCUCUGCAUUUCAACCUCAUCAAUGACCACAACAUCUGAUUUCUCAUAACCACUACUGCUGAAUUGCUUUAUCACAGCCUGAGAAACAAAAAAUAAAAAUAACAGCUUGUUUGGGAAAAACAGCAUUUUGACUAAGCCUAAUUCACAAUCAUGCAGCAUAAAUCAAACAAACAAAUUGACAAAGGCAUUUCAGAACAAUGGAAAACAAUAAUUAUAAUGUCUCAAAACUCAUAAAUUUCUGAAACUUUCACAUACCCAUAUGCGAAAUUGAAAAGAAAAUAAUGGAAAUCACACCACAAACACUGAAAAAUUCAAACUUUGAAAAUGGGUAGGUACCUGUAGCUGUUGUUGUUUGGAAACUUGCUCUCUGAAUUUGGUGGCUUGUUUUCUCAAAGCGUCCAUGACAUACGCUUCAAAUUUUCACAAUGACAGAGAAGUAAAUCGAUGAAGAUGCUAAAAAAGUACCACCAAAUCCAAAGUAUCAGAUCCAAUGACAAACUCAAACUUGGUCAAUCGAAGUUAUUGCUAGCUGCUGUAGGAUGAUGUACUUAUUCAUAAUUUUUAAAAAUAAAAUAAUUCAUAAGUAAUAAUAUUAUAUAUGGAUAAUUAACCGAUACAAAUUCAAAAGGUGACUAAAUAUCUGACCCGUUAAGGGGGGAAAAGAUAAAUUUUAGAACUACCUGAAUAACUUAAAUUAUGAUUAUAACUAUAAAUAUGUUUUGGUACUUUAACGGAAAAAUAGUUUUAAGUUGAUCUGAUUUGUUUGGAUGGUACAGAAAUAUUAAUUUUUACAUACUAUAUAUAAAGCCAAAAUAUGGUGUAACCACCACCAUGGCGUAAUUUAUAUAUUCUUAUUUUACCCUUCAAAAAUUAAAUUUUAAAAAAUCAUAUAAUCUUAUAUAACCACUUCAAAUAUAUUAACUAUAAGUUGCAUAUCUAUACUACUUAAUAAAGGAAAAACUUAACCUAACUUUCAUGAAGUUAUUUUGGGUUUUCCUAUUUCAUAUUUUAUAAUUUCUAAUUUUAUUGUAUAAGUUAUACUUUCAUCUUUAUAUAUAUUUAUACUACUAAACAUUUAUUUCAUAUUUUAUAACUUCUAAACUCUUAUUUAAAUAAAUAUAAUUACCUCAAACGAAUAUAUAUUCAACUGCAAAUUACAAUAUAUAAUACAACUUAAUAUGUAGAAUACACAUUACAAACAAUAGGAAAGCGGGUUGACAGGCACAAUAGUGCCUGUCAACACGCUAGUAUAAAUAAAGGUAACUUUUUUUGGUACAUUAAAUUAAGGUAUUUGUUAAUAUUAUAGAUAUUUAGUUUUUAUAAAAAAUUUCUAAAAAUGGAAUAUUUUAUUUUACUUGUCAUGACAAAGUCCAACUAAAAAUAAAUAUUAAAAUAAAAGAUAAUAUAAAUAUCGUUACAAAAAUUAUUUGGAUUUGAAUUUACUAAUAUCAAAAUUUAAAGUUAAAAUUAAAUGAAAAAAGAUGUAUGGUCAAAAGUAUAAUAGUUUUUUAAACUAUCACCUUAAUAUUCACCACAUUAUAAUUGACUUUUAAAAUAUAAGUAAUAAAAAUAAAUUAUGGAUAAUUGUGCUAUCCCAUCUUCAUGGGCUCAAUGGGAAAUAUGCAAAUAAAUGAAUGGAGUCGUCAUCAAUAUUUUUAGAGGAAAAACAUGAAAAACUAAUUUUUUUAAAAGAUUGGUCAGAGAAAUUAAGUUCGGAAGUCGGUUACGGAUACGAAAGGUAUUAGGCAUAUCAUACCACCCGUAAUAAAAACUGUACCUAGAUUAGUUAUGUGGAUAUUUAUUCAAAACAUUAAUUUUGCCAUCACAUUAUCAAACAAAAUAAAGAAAGAAAAAAAACAUUUUUUAUUUUUUGUGUCCGAUAGGGAAUAUCUGCUCCUACGUAUCUUUAGCUGCAAUAGAAAAAUCAAGGCUACAUAGUUCUUUCAUAAAAUAGUUGAUUAGUCGAUAUAUUUUUAUUUUAUCCAUAUAAAAAUUAAUAAGGCAAUGUGGCGCGACAAGGUACUAGUCCUAUAGUAGAGCCACCUCACCUCAUCUCACGACAUAAGUAGUGCCACAAGGCACUCAGCCUAUAGUGGAACCACUUCAUGUCAUUUUUAAAAUUAUUCAAAAAAUUUAUUUUACAAGAUAAGGUAACACGACAAUACACAAGGCCUAUAGUGGGGUUACCUUACCACGUUUUGGACGGCAUGAAGUAAUGCGACAAGGCACCUGGCCUAUGGUGGAAUUACUUAAUAUCAUUUAAAAAAAUAUUUUUUUUCUUUAUUGCAUUUACACGACACCUUUAAAUUUAUUUGAAAAUUAUUUAUGAAGAUAAAGUAACACGACAAGACACCAAACCUAUAGUGGAGUUACUUUACUUUGUUUUAGACGACAUGAAGUAAUGUGACAAGGCACUUGGCCUAUAGUAGAAAUACUUCAUAUCGUUUUUUAAAAUAUUCUUUUAUAUGUCACCUUUAAAAGUAUUUUGAAAUUUUAUUUAUGAAGAUAAAGUAACAUGACAAGGCAUCAAACCUAUAGUGGGGUUACUUUACCUCAUUUUAGACGACGUGAAGUAAUGCGACAAGGCACUCGUACACAUAUACAUAGACUACUAAAUAAACAAAUAAUAUUUACUAAAAAAUACCGAAUAAUAAAAAAAAAAUACCAAAUAAUAAACAAUGACAUAAAACAAUAAAAAAAUGAAAAAUGAAAAACAAAUAAAAAAACACGACAGAAACAAAAAAAAAACAUAUAGUUAAUAAUUAAACAAUAAUCAAAAGUAGAAAACAAAUUGGAGAUUUAAUGUGUAGGGUUUGAAAUUGGUUUGACGGUUUAGGUUAAAUUAAUUUGGGUGUCUAGGGUUAGAGUAGAAUUAAAUUGGGUUUAGGUUUCAAAAAUCAAUUUGGUGACUAGGGUAAAUCAAUUUGGGGACUUAUGGUUAAAUUAAUCUAGAGGUCUAGGAUGAGGGGUUACCAUGGGGUAACCCUUUUUUUUUGUGUUGGACAACCAACGGCUGCUGGAACAGCUUUACCGCUGGCCAAGGUGGUGCACCACCGUCCACCGGGGCGAUGACGGUGCAGCCAACCGCGAGGACCACUGUUAGACGGGGCAGUUGAUAAGUGUCAAACAUAUCUAAAUUUCAUACAUAUUUAUGGCACUUAUCUUAAGCAUAAUUGAGAAAAACAAACUUAAAACAAUACUUUUUAUAUAAAAUAUCACAAUCUUGUAUAUUUAUGUUUGUAUUUAUUUUUUAUGUGUUUUGUAGGACUUAGAAAGAAGAAGAAAAGAGGAAAAAGACUGAUUGUCAAAAUGAAAAAGAAGUCAAAAUAAAGGUGUUCAAGCAGGAAGCUGGGCGUGGACCAAGCCACGCUAAGCUGACCUGGACACCAGCCUGACCUAGACCAAGCUGCUCAAGCAAGUAGCUGAGUGAACCUGCUUGGUCGCUCAGCCUAGCACCAGACUAAUCGUGACACGGUCAGAACUCAAGCUUGGCACGGUCAGACACGAGCCUGGCACACGUCCAAGCUGCUCAACAAGCAGCUCAGCGGUGCAACCAAACAACUCAACGGUGAACCAGACUCCUGCCUAAGUCAUCAAGCACCAGACCACGUCUCAAUCAGCACGGUCAAAGUUGCUGAAUAAGCAGCUUAGCUGUGCUACAGGUGUGCUAAGCGGUGUGCACCAAGGCUUGACUUAGCCAUCAAGCAAACCAUGAAGUCACCAAUGACAUCACUUCAAGUAGCCCACCAUAGGCUUUUCAGAGUAGCUCACCAUAGCUGGUCCCAAAGCUUACAACUAGCUUUGAUGAGUCAAGCUUAAGGAGGUGACGGAGUUGCUUGAUCAAGUGACCAAUCUCAUGUUGAAGGGUUUGGUUAGCUGUUGAGCGGUGCUAACAAACAGCUCAGCGGCUCCAGGGAAACUUCUAUAAAUAGAGGCACAUUUCAUUCAAAUCAAACAUCAUAUAUCACACAUAUCAUUCACCAUUCUGCCUAGAUAUUCUUCCCUGAAGUUCUCUCUUCCCGUUCUUAGUUCAUAGGAGUUUUAUUUAAGUAAGUUUUGUAAUUUUAGUUUAUAAUUCAAGAGGAGAAAAGGAGAAGGCAAAUGAGAUGCAAAAAUCAAUUUUGUAAUCUCAUUUGGAACUCAAAGCAUCCAAUCCUUGGAUGGAUGGCUCAUGCUCCUAACAAUUUCUUUUGAAUAUGGUUAUGUUUUCUACUUCUUCUUAUAUUAUAAAAAGUUUGAAUUUUAAUCAUUCAAUUUGGUGCUUUGGUUAAUAUUAUUUGUUUGAUAAAUUCUUAAUAUUCUUUUCAGAUUGAUCACCUAAAAACUAAUUUCAAGUUAUAAAAAUUACUUGUCUUAAACACUUAACAAAUAAACUAAGAAGUAGUUGUACUACUUAGUUUAUUUUCCAAGUUAAGCUUUUUCUUAAGAUCUUAUAUUCAUUACUGCUUCAAUAUUAUAGUAGCCAAGAUUAGGGUGUGAUAACCUAGUCUCUUGUGGACGUAAUAUUGUUUAGUAAUAAAUAUAAGUGAUUAUCAUUCUACCAUUUUAGAACAUACACUAAAAGGAGGAUUUUAGAACUUGGUGUUUGGAGUUAAUCAAAGUAAAACAUAAGAACUUAUCUAAGUAGUUCAAAAUCAUAAGAAGUUGAAAAAUAUUUUCUUUAUUCAAAAUGAUCUUGUCUCCUCAAGAAUUUGUUAAUAUUUAGUUUAUGUUUCUUGUUAAUUGUUUAUAUGAAAUUCAAUUCAAAUCAAAACCAAAAUAUGUUUAACUCAUUAUUUGUGCAUUGAAAUGUUCAUAUGAUUCAUUCUAUUAGGUCUAUUAGGCAAUUCCUUGUGGUUCGAUAUAACUUUAUACUAUACUACAAUUGAAUCUUGAAAUAUGUGUGAAUUGUAAAAUAGUAAAGUGUCAUCAAUAAAUUUAUUUGUUGAAAACACCUUUUAAUAUAUAAAAGUGUUGAAGCUAACUUACUAACUUUAUUUAUUGUUAUUUACAUUCCACCAUUUAUUUAUUCUUUAAUACCAACCUUCCUUAAGGAAAAAGUUUGGUUUGUUAAUAAAAGGAACAUGAAAGGUUUUAAAUAAAUAAAGGUCACUUAAAUUUAUUAUUUUUUUGUUCUUUAUUUAUUUAUUUGUUUCUAACAACUAACUAUUCAUCACUUUUGUACAUUAGAAUACCAUUAAACCGGUGUUGGAAUUUAUUCCACAAAACCGAGAUGGUAUGCAAAGGUACUUAAUAAUUAUGUAAUAGGGGAUUGCUUCGAUACCAAUGUACCAGCGUUAGAAUUUAUUCUAACAAAGCCGAGAUGGGGAAAAGAAGGAAUAACUUAUUCACAUGAUUAUUAGAAGUAAGUUGUAACUGGAAUAUUCUUGAAACCAUUAUAUCGGCGUUGAAAUUUAUUUCAAAAAAGCCGAGAUGACAAACAAAGAAGAAAACUGAGUUCACUUACUUAAUCAUAUAAAAAGAAAACACACUGAAUUGAGAGAAUUUCCGCUUUCAACAAAUUGGCACUACUGCCAGGACGAUUUGUUGAGAGAGGAAAACCAACUCUUCCCCCAAGAAAAACCUUUCAACAACACUCCAGCCCCUUUGGGCACGGCUGUGGAUAGACAGCCCUCCAUGGCUGUUGUCCAGUCCUUCCCUGUUACACAGUGGGGCUGCGAUGGGGGCUUAAGGCCGAGCCCACAUCGUCCAGCAGCCGCCAUUUCAGAACACUUUUCUGACAGAAAAAAAAACUCAAAAAAAAUCAUACAUUAUUAACACUAAAACAUACAAUGAAGAAGAAGAAAAACAAAUGAGGUAAAUAAACCUUGAAAAGAGCUUGAGGGUAAUGAAAGUUGAGGUUGUGUGAGAAGUCCCUUCCUUCUUACUCCUCCUCUCUUCUCCUUUCUAUCUUUUUCUUUUUUUAAAACAAUGUUUGCUUAUCUUGCAAUUUUCAGAUCUUUCUUUAGGUUAGUAUCUAAGUUAGGCUUAAAUAAGGGGGUGGGGAUUAGGGUUUCUGGUUGGGCUAGGGAAAAAACUCAGUUGCACAAUGUUUGAAAUUCAAAUUUCCUCCCCCUUUUUGCUUUGAAAUAUUUUACCCCAGUCAAAAUUGAGUAUUUACAAUAAUGUAUUUACUAUAUAUAUAUUUUUAGACUAAUAGUAUAUAAUAUUACAUUCAAAUUAAAUAAUGGAACCAAAAGUUGAUGAAAGAAUUAUGUCAUAUAGGCAUUUAUUUCUUUUAUGACAAAUAUUAUAACAUUACUUAAUAUAAAAAUAGCAUAUUUAUUAUUAUUUUAAUUAUAAUAAGCAUAAUUUACUUUUGGGAAUUCAUGACUGCCUGCGUAGUUAUUUUCUUAGUAAGGGUUAAUUAUUUCAAAGGAGAUGUAUCAUAAGAAUUAAGGAUGUUCAAAUUUUGAUGUGUUUAAAAAUAAAAUUGAAAAUUAGAUCAAAUAAAACUACAAAUAAUGUGGUUUGAUUCAUUUUUUUAAAAUCACUUCCGUUUAGUUUUUAGUUUAACUUUGGGAACCAAACUAACUCAACCUGACUUAUUAGAUGUUUAAGUUAUACAUAAAAUAUUUCUAUAUGUAGAUAAAAUAUUUACAUUGUGUAACAUUUUAUCUAUUCCCACUUUUUUAUUCAAUCAAACAAGAGAAAUCAAGAAGAAAAUACAUAUUUAUCUUCUAUUUUUUUUCAUUUCACUCCUAUCAAACAAUAUAAAAAACUAAGGGUAUGUUUGUUUUGACCAUUUUCUGUUUUCAUUUUCAAUGAAAUCAGAAAAUGAGGUUGAAAACAUGUUUGUUGUGUUGUUUUCAUUUCAUAUUUUUGAAAACAUGAGCUUCAUUUCCGGAAAUUUUGAAAAUGAAAAAAUAUCAUUUCCAAUAUUUUCAAUAAUCAGACAAUGACAUUUUAUUGAAAAUUUUAAGACUUUUAUUAGUUCAUUCUAUCUAUAUCUUUUGAUGUUUUAACAUUUUCAUGUUAUUCCAAAUCUUUUGAUGUUUUGAAAACUCAAUAUACAUUUAUAUUUUACUUUCCAAUUAUACCCUUAUUUAUUACUAAUAUUUUAUCCACAUGUUUCUUCAUUUCAUUUUUAAUCCACUUGUUUAUGUGUAUUAAAUAUGACUAUUUUAGUCAAAUUUUAUUGAAUUUUACUUCAUUUAAUAUUUUUUGAAACUAUGUGCAUAACCUUAAACAUUAAAAGAUAUGGAAUGAGGAGCAUAUUAUUUUCAAUUACUCUCUUUGCUAAUCAACAAAAUGUUGAAAUCAAUUGAUGAGGGCCUCCCUUGUCCUUACUAUCACACAUCUUCAUAAUAAAAUUUAUUUCUUUACCUCUUAACAUAAUAACUUUUCUUCGUCUCUCUUAUGAUAUUGUUGAAAUAGUUCGAUGAUGAUUAUGAUAAUAUAUGAUUUUGGGAUGAAAAUUGACGCUUCUUGAUGUUACUACAACCUUAAUUAAAUAGUAUAGCACUUGUACGUUAGUAAUUUAUUUUAAUUUUAUCUUUUUUGGAAAACACCUGCAACUGCAUGAUAUGUUCAUUAUGACUUUUCACACCCUUUUGUAAUAGCAAAUGACAAGUCCAACAACUAAAAAUGUUCAACGUAUUAUUGACAUAAAAUACAUUGGAAAGAAAAUGCAAGUAUAAAAUAUGUAUACAUUUAUAAAAUCAUUAGUUUGACUACUUUAGUAAUUAAAAUUUAGAAUUGGAUUCAUUACAAGAGUAAUUAUCAUGGUUUAUAAAGUUUAAUGUGUAUAGUUAUGAAAAUGAAAAUGAUAAUAACAAACAUAUUUUCAGGAAAUGAAAACAUGGAAAUGAAAAUUAUUUCUUAAAAAUGAAAAUAAAAAAUAGAAAUAGAAAAUAUUUCUUAAAACCAAACACACCCUGUUUUUUUUCCACUUAUUUUUCCUUCUCUUAAGUACCUCUCACGUUUUACUCUAUUCCCACUUUAAUUUCUUCUCUCGAGGAAAGAAUCCUCUAAAGAUUAUGCAUGGAGUUUAUGAAAGAAAUUGAGUAGCAAUGAUGAAUGUCAUGGAAGUUUCACAUGUUAUCUACAUGCCACAUAUGUUUGGCACUCCUCGUGGAUGGGACCAACUUAUUCACACCUUUUUUCUUGACUAGUUGAGAUUCACGUGUGUAAAAAAUUAUAUUAAGAAACUUUGUAAAAUUAUCAUUUUCAAUUAUAUUAACUUAGUUAGUUGAAUAAAAGUUUAGAUUAUAAUGUGAGAUUAUUUUCAUUUAAACUAAUUAAUUCAAAAUUUAUCAUACUUUCAAAAUUAUUAUUUGCUAGUUAUUCAAAAACCAUUAGCUAAAGAUAAUGUUAUGAAAAACUAAUUAAAAUAAAUGUGUAUUUUAUUAACAGAAAUGUUAAACUUAACUUCUACUAGCCUACAAGAAAAGUUCCAAAAACAUAAGAACAUGCGAAAAGAACAAAUAGCAUAUGAACAUAAUCUACUGUUAUAGUAAAAAAAACAGGUUUAUACUCUGAAAAUAAAAUAAAAUGUCUCCUCACAAGUAUACUCACUUUGACAUAUGUUUAUGUUUUUUUCCUUUCUAUUCUCCUCUUCUUUCUAUUUAUACUUACUUCGAAGGAUAAAUGAUAAUUAUAUAUAAAUAUUUGCGUGUUAGUACAUAGAUAUUACAAUCAUAUAUUUUUAUUGGUUACUAACAAGAUUAAAAAUAAUUGAAUGAUAAAAACCAUUGAAGAUGAAAUCUUUAGCAAUAAUUCGACUAGCUCAUAGAGUAAUUUUAUAAAACAGAAUCAACCUCUUCAUCAUAUAUAUACCAAAUUCCUGAAUUCUCCAGAUACCCAAAUGACCAAUUUCAAUAAUUGCCAAGUUUGAAACUUUAUCUAUCGUGUUUUAAGCUCCAAGUUUGAAACUUUUAAGUUUUAACAAUAACAAAGUCUCACCUUUUUCAUUACCUAAUACUAAAUAGUCGUUGUGUCUUCACUUCAGUUUCAAUGUCUGUGAGUAUUUUUCUGUAGGUUUGGGUUACUCUGUGUUUAUUAUACCUUUAUUGUUCCAACCAAAUAAUAGAGACACUGAGGGGAUAGUGACAGAGAGGUAAAAGCUUCUAUUUCACUCCAAUCAUGCCAUCAGGUCCUAAGAAGAGAAAAGCUGCCAAGAAAAAGAAGCAAAAGGAACACAACAUCAAUAACAUUCAAGGUACUUUUGCCCACUAGCUUUAUUGUUUUAAUGCUUUUUUGAAUAUGCAUGUGCACCUAACUGACAAUUAUUCAUAGAUGGGUCCUAUUCAAUUAUUGAUUUUAUCUGUUUUUCUUAUAUAAUGUUUUUAGGGUCUAUUUGGUUACAUGGGUAUCUGUUAAUUCUUCUUGUUUUGCAUUUAUGUGAUUGGAAUUUUGUAUUUGGGGUAGUUGGGUACCUAGGUAUUUGUUAUUGUUAAUGUUAUUUGGUUGGUUUGAUUGAUUAUUUGAUAAGAAAUGUCAGAAAAUGAUGAUUUGAAGUCCCAAUAUGAGAAAGGAAGUGAUGACGGCGAGGUUAGUUCGCCGGAACAUUAUGACGAUGAUAAUCAUCAUCAAAAUCCAUUUAAUGAAGGCAGUGAAGAGGUUGAAGAGAGAGACCCACCAGCUGCUCAACCAAUUGCUUCUGAUCCUAAGUCCGUGGAAGAUAUCGCGAAUGAUAUUCAGAUUGACAAAGUGGGAGGAGAAAAGCAGGAUAUUGUUGUCUUAAUAGAGGGAGAUGUGAAACCUGAGGAGAGUCCUGAGAGUAAAGAUGCAUGUUUUGAGCAAAUUGAGACUGCCGAGGAAUCAUAUCACGGGAAUGAGAAUGCCAGUGGUACUUCAAAUGACAAACCCGUCACUGAGAAAAACUCAGAGGAUGAAGAUUAUAAUUCAAUUCAAGAGGCUAUUGUAUGUCAUGCGUUGGUUAAAUCCAUUGACUCCUCACCUUCCAAUACGACUUCGAUUGCUGAAAAUGCACCAGUUGAGGAGAGUGGUAAUUCAGCCGCAGAGUCUUCUGUUAAUUCAGUUAACGCCGUAGCUUCUUUGUCUGAGGCAGAAAACAGUGAUAAUGGAAGUGUAUUACUAGAGAAGUCAGUAGUCUCUUCUCUAGGAGUGACCGAUCUAGCUAUGAAGAUAGAUGAGGGUCCUGUAUAUCCCUUAACUGAUGAGAGUGCUAGAAUGUCAAAUCUGGAGGAAACAAAGUCAAAGGAAUGUGACAGCAAAGUAAUCACUUCAUUGUCUGCUAGUCCUUUCACUAGAUCCUCUAAUGGUGCCGAACAUAUUAAGGCUUCUGAGACCCCAGAAUCCUCUGAAUAUCAGGUUUUGCAUUUUCUCAUCUAUACAAGUUUGACCACACAAUUGCGGUUUGUGUUUUUUCUUGUAGAAAAAUCAUUCAAAAACUAUUUUUACUUGCUGAAUUGAUGUGCAGCCUCUUGUAGCAUCAGCUCCUCAUAUCGUGCAACAGACCUCAUGGCUGAGUUGUUGUGGAUUGUUUGAAGUUGUGUCAGGCUCAGAUAGAUGAAUCCAGGUUUGGAGUUAUUUUACCUUAUAAAAUCAUAUUUUAUGAUAGAGCAUUAUGGCGUCAUUCGAUCCAUGUAGCUGAGUCCACCUAGUAGGAUAAAAGCUUGGUUGCUGUUGUUGCCCCUUCUAACAUAAAAAGUUGUACUGGCUGAGAUGGAUGUGCUGCACUUGUUUAAUGCCUAUUUGUGGUUUGCUUGGACUGCUUACCCGGUUACAUUGUUUCUAACCGUUUUGGUUACUGACGCUGCUAUGAAUUUUAGUUUAGCAUAGACAAGCUUGGUGUGUUUCCUUUUUCACUAACUACUGCCUGUAUAACUUAAGUGAAUACCGGGUUUGCCAUAGGUCCUUGGACCAAAUUUUAGUGACUAGAUUGAAUGUGUAGAAGUAAAGAUGUUAUGUUUUAUGGUAAUAUAUAAUCCAUGCUACUAUUUGGUGCAUUUCAGUGGAGCUUAUAUUUUUUAAGGUGUUAGUUAUUUGUGGAUGAGGUAACAACCAAUGAUGAUUUUUUUUUUGCAUAGUACUAGCAGUAUAUUUAACGAGAUAAGGACUCUACUUAACCAUAAAUAUGCAUACCAUCCGAAAAAUGAAUGUAAGAAUAGUAGCUUAACAAUAAAAAAUGAGGAAUAAAAGAAGAAAACUGCUAAAAUGUUGUUGCACUGGGCGGGCAUGAUUCUGUAGAAUUAUUAGUGUGUGCUUGUUAUUCUGAAGACGCAUCUUUGUUAUCAUUCAUUCUAGCCUGAGCAUGAUAGAAUAUUUAUAUCUUUUGGACACAGAUUUUGUUAUUUAAGGUACACUUGGAUUUAUUUAAUAGUAUUGGUUAAUUUAUAAGUUGUCUUGUUCUUUAUGAUAAUGCUUACUUUGAGUAUUAUCUGAGUAGUAUCAGUAUACAUUUUGAACUUACAAGUUAUAACCACGUUAUGGCUGACAAAUAUCUGCCUUCUGUUUUUCUUGCAGAAAUGCAAGCAAUGCGUCAAACUUGUGAAGACUUAGAACAUUGUCAAAAGAUUUUGUGAUAUUUUGACCUUGAAGGUUUUUCGAAAUUUAAUGGGCAACCAGGCCCAACUAUAUAAUUCAUAUAAGGUUUGUUUACUUAUAGUGAGUUUUGUUGCAGUUAUUGUUGUUAGCAACAAUUACAGCUCAAUACUUGAGUCUUCUAAACUGCAUAUUUAAUUCUACUAGUAUUUUGCAAUGAGGUAUAAUUCCAUUAUGUGGAUAACAAUUUAAGAGUUCCUUAUAGUUCUAUGUGUGGAAUUGUGGAUUGUGUUGUAAGAAAUUUGUCAAGGCUUUGUACCUGAGUAAAAAUAAAAAAACCUUGUAGAAGGAUUUAAAUGACUACUUAUCUUUUCAUACAUGGCUUUUGUGAGAAUAUUAUUAUGAUUCUAUUGUGCCCUAUGUUCAUUUAAGGCCAGAACAUGGUUAUCAAAGUGAUGCAGCUUGCUCUUCUUGUAACCUUUAUAGCAGAUUAUGUUUGCCAUGGUGAGGCAUUGGAGAAAGUUUAUAGGAAGUAAUUUUAGAAAGACAUGGAUAGUGUUCUCCAUUAAAGGAUAAAGGUUUUGUAAAUUAUUCAUACAAAUCCAAUCAUUCAAAUCAGACCACAAUCUGAAUUUGUAAAUUUGAAGUUUUGAAUGGUGUAAAACAGAACAGGUACAUAAUUCAGAAAGGAAACAAAGAGGAAAACAGAAGAGAAAGAAAUACAAGCACACAAAUACAUUCUCUCAUGAAGAAAAAAAAGAUUCUGCUAGCUUUCACUUUUAACUUAUAUAUGCAGCAACACCAUGGAUAGCAGCUAUGUAAAAAAGCUGUGUAGCUGAAAGGAUAAUUAGAAAAGCUUCCAGUGUUCUCUGCAAAAUUGCACAUUUCAGAGAGUUAAGAGCAAACUCUAGUGGUUGAAAAUAUAUAUAGACUUAGGAAGGUUUGCAAAUGAGUUUCCUUGUCUUACCAAGUGAGCAUUUCUGAUAUGAAGCUCAAUCUCUUUGCAUGCAAAACUGCAGAAAUUAAAUUUUAGUUAGGACAAUAACAUCAUAUAUGACAUGUUAAACCUAUUGAAUGAUGCUACGACACAUAAUUCGACAGUAAUGUAAAAUCUUUUCGAGUAUUGCGUGCAUGAAGACGACAGACAGAUCGUAGAGCGCGACAGAUUACCCCAUGGCUAAGAGUGUAAGAGACCAAGCAAUGGUAGCAACUGAAGCUGCAGAUGGUAAGCUCUCAGCGGUCCAUGAACGGAUAUGAUUGAUUCCGGAGAGUGUUGAUGCAGCACCAACGACUCCAGCAAGCAAAGCAAAUGUGACAAAGAAUCCAGUAGCAGCAUUUCCCAUAGGGAAGAAUAAGGGUGAAAAAUGAGCUGGAAGUUUUAAUUCUGAACCUGCAUGAACAUUUUCUUAAUAACAGAACCUUGCUAAAGAAAUAAACAAUUAAUAAAGAGUAUGUGUCACAGAAAAUGUGUCAGUUUUUUACCUAUAAUAAAACAAUGAUCUAUUGCUCUAUUCACUGCCCAUGCACCAAUGCCUAGAACUAUGACAUACAUGCAGAAAUUCAGCAACAAAAGAAAUGUGGCAAUUGGCUUCAUUUGCUCAUUAGCCAUCUUUUUAUUAUGUGGUCUUGGAUAAGAAAAAAGCUUCUUGAAACAAGAAAGGUAGUUUGGGGAUUUGAGAAGCCUAAAAAGUAGUGAAGGAAAUUCUCUAUGCUUCUAUUUUGUGCAAGUGAGAGAGUUCUUAUAUAUGAAUGAAAAAUGAUGGAUUAAAAUUAUUUGGGUUCUUUUCUUGGCAAGGUUGCUACUGCUCCAUGCAGGAUAGUAUAUGAUUAUAUAAAUGACAGCUUUAUACUUCACAUUCAAGGCAACAUCAAAUAUGAUUGAUUCUUCAUUGCCUCAUAUUUUAAAGGUUUGUUUAACUAAAACACCAUCAACAGCUAAGAUGUUUGUUCUAUGAGGCAAGUGAUAUUCCUUGCCACUUGUGGACACUUCUUAUUCUCACAAUACUGGGUCUACAAUCUCACUUCACAAAGCUUAUUUUCAUUGUUUCUAAUAAAUUCAAUUGCAAACAUUUAUUAGUUUUGUUCAAUAUAUUAAUGUAUUUACACUGUUACUGUAUCAUCUACCAUUCAUUUUUUAUCAUCAUUGAUUUUUAUUAAAAGUAAUUUAAAUGAAUGAUGGAUGAUGCAAUGAUUCUGUAUAAAUCUUUACCAUGGAUAUACAUUACAUUUUUUUACUUGGUACAGAUAUUAUUCAACUCAAAACUGUGAAAGCAACAUUAAUAAAUAAAAAGUGUUUAUUCUUAAUCUAUUUAACUACACUAUUUUUUAAGGUUGACGGAUUCCUUAGUUAUUGCUCUUAGCAAACCCAAUUAUUCUUACUAAAAAAAUAUUACUAUGUAACAAAGAACAAGAUUAAUUGUUAUUAACAACUACUAGUUUUAAUAUAAAAUUAUAAAUACAAGAAAUAUCUAACAGAAAAUAGUUUAAACAUUAAUGAUGUAAGAAUUUUUUUAUAUUAUGAAUAUAUUAUUUAUCAUUUAUGUGUUAAUUAUUAUUAACUUAAGCAAAAAUUGAUGUAUAUAUAAGAGUUUGUUAACAUGAAUCAACUUCAUUUUAUAAAGGUGUAUGUUAAUGGUGUACCCCAAAAAUGGUCAAUGUGAUUCAUUACUUUAUUCGACUAAACUAUGCUCUCAAAGGAUAUUUUAGUAGGUAGAUUAAAAUUUUACUAUCCUCACACUCAAAACCCGUCAAAAAGUAAUUCAUUCAUUAAUAUCUCUUCAAUAAUCAACAUGUAACUUCAUAAAAUGGAGUGAACUAAUAUUAGCGAACCCCAUAAUUAACCAGAGUAACAAUUUUAUAUAUAUCCAAUGUAAUAUUUAUGUAUUGACAAUAUACAAAUUUAUAUCAUCCAUAACUUAUUAGGAUUAAUUUUUUGAAGAGUUAACAAUUAAAUAAUGAAUGGUUAAUUAAAUGGAAGACCAUUUAAGAACACAAGGAAAGACUUGACCAAAUAACAAAAUCUACUAAAUUGAGAAGCUCUAUAACUAUUGUAUAAUGGAAUGUAGAGUAAUAGUACAAAACAUAUUCAUCCUAUGUCGACCAUCACAAAGCUUAACAAAUAAAGAAGCUUUCUUCUUCCUCUCUAGGAUUAACUUAUCCAGAGAAAGUGAGAUAUUUGAUUACUUCAUUUGAUCACCAAUUAUAAAACAAACCAAAGUAACAGUUAUACAAAGUGCAUAUCACAACACCUGAUAGUGUGAUACUUAAUUUGGGAAGAGUUACCCUUAGAAUUACUUUUAGUUGCAAUAAUUUUAAAAAAGAAAUAGAGUUAAAAGGGGAAAGUAAAUGAGUUACUACCAUAAACAGAGAAAACCAAUAACUCUUGUGUGUGGGGAAGGUAGAAGGGUAAAAUGGUGAGGGAAUAUAAACUCAUACAAUUGUCAAGGCUAAAAUGAACAUAUUUAAAUUGUGCCUGUAAAAUUACGUAUAAGUCUCUUGAUAUGAAUUUUGACUUUUAUAUCAAAAUAUAUAAAAUUGGAGUUGAGCAAAUUUUAAUGGAAGACUGAAAUAAGAAUAAUAAAAAAAAUGAAGAAUUACUUUAAUCCAUUUAUAUAGUAGACUAGAACUAAGUUUAAAUGAAAAAUUAGUACAUGAUAGUAGGAAAAAUAACAUUUUUGGAGUAAAAAAAUAGUAUUACAAAAACAUUAUUUAAACCCACUAACAAAAAGCUCUUGAUAGUUUAUCUCCACCCACUGAUAAUGUACUAACAAGACUAUAAUCAGGAAGAGUAUGAAGGACUGGUUUGUUCCAAUUCAUUCUACAGUCAAAGUUGCAAUUGUUACUGGCCGAGUAUAAAAGCCAGGCCUGGAAGAGUUGCACCUGGAUUUUAUUGAUGAUUUAAACAUAAAAGUAGUAACUUUGGUGACAACUUAUGAUACAGCAUAGGUCAUACAUCUUGGUCGGGAUAACAUGGAUAACAGUUAUAAUAGUGUGAAAAACAAACAACUAAAUGUCGCUAGUAUUUUCAAAUUGAAGAUUUAUUUGAUAUGAAUAAAAAAUAAAAUAUUAACUACAAAGAUAAAAAACAAACCAAGUCAAAAAUUUGGACCAUUUAGCACUGUUGUAAUAAUAAACUAGGUUGACAAAACUAUCCUUAACAUAUUUCACCAAGGAUAAGAUAUACCAAGUCAUUGACAAUCGCUCUCUCCAAUUCAGAACAAUCAAAAUUUGACAAAUAGCAACCAAUUUAACAAUACCAUGAAAGCAUGAUAACAAUCAGAUAACAUAUAAAACCGUAAAUCAAGUUUUUGGCACUGCCACAAAAAUUAAGUUUUCAUGCAUAUUCAGACUAUUCAUCCUCCUGGCUGCGUAGUCUAGCUGUUUUGUUUGUCACAACAACAUCAAGUUGUGCAGCUCUCUCAACUAUUUCCUUCCUCUUUCUUGUUGAUAUAUUGUGAGCAAUCUCAGCAGCGUAAGUCCUGAAAUAACAUAAUAAAAAGCAAUCAGAAGACAAUAUUUGAAGUAAAGCAGUAAACUCUCAAGAUCAGUAUAAGUCAAGAGCUUCACCUGUUGUGCAUCAGAAGCAGUUCCAAGUCUUUCACAUUGUGAACAACAAAUUUCUUGAAACCAUUCGGAAGAUAGUGACGAGUCUUCUUGUCUGAACCAUAACCAAUGUUUGGCAUCAACACACAUCCCUUGAACUUCCUCCUCACACGAGAAUCUAUACCCUUUGGUCUGCGCCAGCUUGGCUGAUGCAAAUAAAAUAGGCAAAAAUGGAUUUUCAUUAGAACAUAAGCAACCCCUUCAAACCUAAGAAUUAAACACUGUUGGUCAGAUAUGUAACAUAAAAUUCAAUAUUUUUUUACCAAUUUGUUUAUAAUGAAGAAACUAUGACUUAAAGAUAUAUUGAUUGAAGAUGUAGAAAGGGAAAUAGUAAGAAAAGGCAUGUAUGGAAAGAAAAAAAGGCAGCUCUGUCACAAAACAUGUAUAAAACUUAUACUUGCUCUUUAAACAAAAUAUCAUGCUACAGCAAUAGACAAAAAAUCUUACACUGGAUAUCACAUGCAACUCAAACACAAAAUAUUUCUAUAUGAUAUUCAGUUCAGUAUUAGUCAGGGCAUUAAAAUCUAAUUUUGCAUUUUAGUCUGUUUUGUUCUUUAAUUUUUACUAAAAUCUUAGGUAUAGCUAUCCAGACAUUUUUUUUUGUAAAUGAAUAAUUCAAUUCCAUUGCAAUUUAAAGUCCCAUAAAUUUUGAAUUACCUCAUCCAAACAAAAGUUAGGGUUGCACCAAUUCAAAUCUUACCAAUAGCUUAUUCGCGCUAAUGAAAAUAAGCUUAGCAAAUAAGAAUGUGAAAUUAGUUUAAGAAAACAUUAUGACCUUAUUAUAAGCAGUUAAGCACAUUUUAGCUUGUAUCGGCAAAGCUUAUCAGAAGUAAUACAAGCAGUAAGAAAAAACCUAGAAAUGCAGCUUCAACUAAAUGGUGAUAUUCGUGUAUAAUAAUGUCAAAUCAAUAUCAAAAAAUUAUAUCAUAGCAUGUAAAAAUUUGCAAGUACAACAGCUGAAUCCGAAAUGGAUGUUAAAAAUGAGCAAUUAAAAUCAAAAUCGCGAAAUAAAUAACCUUGACAGAGAUUUUACGAUCGCUCUGGGGGCGCUUGAAUCUUUUGACGCGCUUCUUCACGAUCUUCUUCGUAAGUAGUGGAACCGCCAUUGUUACCCUAUCUCCUCUGCUUCAGCUUCUGCGUCUUGUGGCUGCUGCGGAAAGCCGGUUUAUAUAUUUGAAAUCUAAACGGUGUCGUUUUCUAAGGUUGUGUAUUUCUUGUGGACUAAAAAUUGGGCCAAAUCAAUGGCAAUGGGUUAACCCGGCCCAAGUAAAAACAUCAAUUUCAUAAUCUAACUCUAGUCUUACUAAGUCUAUAUCUCACAUUCAUUUUUAUGUGGUUGUAAGUUUAGUUUUGGAGUCAUCUCAUAAAUUUAUUUUAUGAUUUUCAAAUUUCUUUUAUUAUCCUUUACAAUUCAACUUAGAAAUGAAUCAUAAGGGAUUGACAUAUAUAUAUACUAGUGUGUACAGGUACUUCGUGUCUGCCGAUGAAUAUUGUGUGAUACUACAUGUUCAAUUUUUAUAUAUUAUAUUAUUUUUUUGUUUAUGAUAAUAUUUAAUUUAGGGUGAGAUGUGUGGUUAAUUAAUGUAUUGGUGGUAGUUCCUUAGGAUUAUAUAGUUUUUUUGUAAAAAUUAAAUAAUAUCAAGGACAGGAAAUGAAAAUUACACCAUGAGAGAAGUUAUUUCAAGUUUUGGUUUUAUAUAUAGUAUAGAUAUAAUGAACCAAUUGAGGAAGUUAUGUUUAUGUCAUGUAGGUUAUAAAGAUUGGGAAGUUGGAAUUUUAGUACAGUGGAAGUUGAAGAGUAGUGAGAGAUCAUGGUUAAAUUGAUAACUCGAACUCAACCUAGGUAAUGUAGACUUCGAUUGGUUUUGUGAAAAUAGACUUAGUGAGAAUGAAAACUGGCCAAUGAAUUUAUAUUUGAGUUUCAUCUUUGACCUUAUUGCACAUUAAUAUAAAAGAUCAAAAGUUCAUUUCCUUGUUGAGAAGAACAAUCACAUAUCUCGAAAAGGUUUAGUUUUUUACUAGGUUACCUUGAUUUUGGUCCUCUAGUUUUAAUUUGACAAAUUUAAUCCUAAUUUUCACACGUUUUUUCAAAGUUAGUCCAUCACAAAAAUGACUAAUUUGACAUGGCAAAGGAACACAUGAUAAAAUUCAACCACCAUAACAGGUUCAAACACCCUGAAUUCAUGCAUACCAAGUGUGGUGAUUGAAUUUUGCGACAACCCACCAAACACAACUGGCUUAAAAUUAAACCACCAUUAUUCAAUCCAAGUUUCCAAAUACGAUGAACAUGAAACAUGUAAAAAGAAUGGAAAAAAAUUACAGAGGGGGGAACCUCUAUGAUUUAAGGAAAGCAUCUGCAAAAGUCUAUCGUUGGUUGUAAUAGUUCAAGAACUAUACAAGACUGGAGUAGACCCAUGAGAUGGCAGAACCAUCAAUGUACCUAUAAUUUUAGGUUCACUCUAUAGCAGCCUAUAGAAGCAUCUAAUUACUAACCAGUUAUACUCCACAGAAAUGGUUUGUGGGAAUAAACUGAAACUGAAACAAAAGAUCUAUAACACACUGAUAAAUGUUCUUGUAUUAGAAAGAAAUGAUGUGUCCAGGAUAUUAUUUAUCCAUCAGCUUGAGCCUUAUUCAUCUUUUUCCUUAAUUUAUGGGAUAACAGAUAAGAGACCCUUGUUAUUCAGAAGAAACUCUCUCAACCAACAAAAAUCUAAGGGGUUGGUCACUACCAAUAAGAAUGCAUGUUAACUAAUUUAUGCUUGAAUUCAGUUACCCCCUCACUGUAGUAUUACAAAGUACAUAUCUUUCUUGCGUGCAAAAAAUUAACAGCAUCAAUCAUUAUGGCUGAUAAACCUCUGGAAGCUGAAGACCAACACUUGCAGCAGAUUUUCCAAGAGUUCUUUUCACUUCAUCUGAUCUAUCAAUGGCAAUAUUGUAUGAGAAAAGCAAAUCCUGCAAAAUUGCCAAUAUCGAGACAUGGUCAAUAGGUCAGGCAGAUAAUGAACCAAUUGAGGAAGUUAUGUUUAUGUCAUGUAGGUUAUAAAGAUUGGGAAGUUGGAAUUUUAGUACAGUGGAAGUUGAAGAGUAGUGAGAGAUCAUGGUUAAAUUGAUAACUCGAACUCAACCUAGGUAAUGUAGACUUCGAUUGGUUUUGUGAAAAUAGACUUAGUGAGAAUGAAAACUGGCCAAUGAAUUUAUAUUUGAGUUUCAUCUUUGACCUUAUUGCACAUUAAUAUAAAAGAUCAAAAGUUCAUUUCCUUGUUGAGAAGAACAAUCACAUAUCUCGAAAAGGUUUAGUUUUUUACUAGGUUACCUUGAUUUUGGUCCUCUAGUUUUAAUUUGACAAAUUUAAUCCUAAUUUUCACACGUUUUUUCAAAGUUAGUCCAUCACAAAAAUGACUAAUUUGACAUGGCAAAGGAACACAUGAUAAAAUUCAACCACCAUAACAGGUUCAAACACCCUGAAUUCAUGCAUACCAAGUGUGGUGAUUGAAUUUUGCGACAACCCACCAAACACAACUGGCUUAAAAUUAAACCACCAUUAUUCAAUCCAAGUUUCCAAAUACGAUGAACAUGAAACAUGUAAAAAGAAUGGAAAAAAAUUACAGAGGGGGGAACCUCUAUGAUUUAAGGAAAGCAUCUGCAAAAGUCUAUCGUUGGUUGUAAUAGUUCAAGAACUAUACAAGACUGGAGUAGACCCAUGAGAUGGCAGAACCAUCAAUGUACCUAUAAUUUUAGGUUCACUCUAUAGCAGCCUAUAGAAGCAUCUAAUUACUAACCAGUUAUACUCCACAGAAAUGGUUUGUGGGAAUAAACUGAAACUGAAACAAAAGAUCUAUAACACACUGAUAAAUGUUCUUGUAUUAGAAAGAAAUGAUGUGUCCAGGAUAUUAUUUAUCCAUCAGCUUGAGCCUUAUUCAUCUUUUUCCUUAAUUUAUGGGAUAACAGAUAAGAGACCCUUGUUAUUCAGAAGAAACUCUCUCAACCAACAAAAAUCUAAGGGGUUGGUCACUACCAAUAAGAAUGCAUGUUAACUAAUUUAUGCUUGAAUUCAGUUACCCCCUCACUGUAGUAUUACAAAGUACAUAUCUUUCUUGCGUGCAAAAAAUUAACAGCAUCAAUCAUUAUGGCUGAUAAACCUCUGGAAGCUGAAGACCAACACUUGCAGCAGAUUUUCCAAGAGUUCUUUUCACUUCAUCUGAUCUAUCAAUGGCAAUAUUGUAUGAGAAAAGCAAAUCCUGCAAAAUUGCCAAUAUCGAGACAUGGUCAAUAGGUCAGGCAGAUAAAAUGUGUUUUUCCUUAAAAUUUAAUUAUAUAGAGACAUAAGAUGAGCCAAAACAAAAAUAAUAGCAAUGAAAAGACUAAGUAUUGGAUUUCAUCAAGCCUAAAUGCAGCUUGGUAAGAAUGUUGAACAUCAAGGUUCUAAAUUCUGGACCACAUCAACUGAUGCAAUCACAAUGAAUAUUCUGGUUGCGGUUACUGCCACAAAAACAUUACCUCACAAUUGAGUGAGGAUCUAAAUCACAGUACCACCACAUUAGAUCACAUUGUGGCGGCAUCAGAUUGCAAUAGGGUGCAAUAGACUGAAAAACAAAUCUUGAACAUACAAUAUGGCAUAAAAGUUUUAGUCUUGCGAGGGCUGUAACUCACAUUGCAAUGGCCACCACAAUUUAAAACCACAAUGUUCAUCACUAGUCAAAAACCACAAUGUUAAUCACUAGUCAAAACCACAUCCUCCUGUGCACCUCUUGAAUAUUUAGCAAUAUACAUGCAUUUUUAGCUUUAGUUACAUGCAUAUUAACUAAAGCUGUUCACAUCUUACUAAUUUUUUAAUUAAAUGAGUUUGUGUAGAUCCCAUUUGAACAAUCAAAAUUAACAGCGAGUGAUACCUUGUGAUGAUGCACACUGUUAAGUAGAAAAGUAUAAUCACGGGCAAGCUUCGUAUUUUGUUGGACAGCCACAGCAUCAGACAAAUUACGGUUGUUACGAAAUUCCGAGGUUACAAAUUCUAAAAAAUGUCUGUUGCUACCUUCCUUCCCAUUCACAAUAUGUUUUUUGACAGCCUUGAGAAGAUCACGAUAGAUCUUAGCAGUUUGUAUGGUUUCAAUCCCCAUUUGUCUGUAUCAAUGUCUGCGCUAUCUACUUCCUGCAUAGCAUAGGACUACAUAUUUUAACAUAUAUAAAAAAAUAGAAACAUUACAAGAACAAUAGUAACAAAAUCUUCUCCAAAAAGUAGAGUAGGUCAACUACAUGAAUGAAGAGUUAUAAUAGUCUAUCCUUUACUUAUAGACAAAUCAUUUAUAUUUGAAUUCUGCUUAAUAAUUUUGUCUAUGGUUUUUUUUGGUUCCCUAACUCUAUCUAUUAGGUAGUACCCUCCAACUGAUCUAUCUCUCUUGCUCGAGAUCCUUCUAGCUGGAGCUUCUAUGGGACUGUUUGCAAGUUGAAUUUCAGAAGGAAAUAAAGGGAAAAUGAAGGCUUCAAAAUCAUCUCAAAGUAUAUUUCAUGACUCCAAAACCUUCGAUUUUCAUUUUCCCCCUCCAAAAUUCAACUCGAAAACGAACCGUAAGGUCUUCUCCACAGGUAACCAAACCAUAGCGAGAUUUUAGACUCAUCACUAGUACCUUAGGAAAUCAAACAUUAAAUAGAUUGGUCAUAUCUAAGCAAGUUUAAAGAAUUCAACUUAUUGAAAUCAAUUAAAUAGACAACUCAAAUGAAAGCAAAAAAUAAAAAAUGGUGAUAUCAAAGACUUGAAAGAAUUCUCAACACAGAAAAUCAAAAUAUAAUCUAAAAUACAACACUGAUGUAUGACGCUGGAUUUAACGCAUCACUGACAAUUAGACACCACAAAUGGUAUAUUCAACAAACACGUUGUUAACCUUACCUCAAAUGGCGACGGUGAUGGCUCCGACUCCGGCGGCGGGACGUGUGGCGUUGUGGUGGCAGGACGAUGGGAGAAGAUGAUGAGGUUGUGGAAGGAUGAAGAGUGAGAGACUUCAGACAUUGGGUUGCUACUGGUAAUGGGCUUGGGCUAAUAAAAAAUUAAUCUUAGCGUGAAAUCGAACCUGGUCGCUAUUGAACGGUCAAAAUUUGGGUAGAACCAUUGAAGUAAACCAAAUUAAAAUUUCAAUUUCAUUUAUUUCAAUUUUAUCGAUUUCAUGGUUUAAUUUUUUUUUUUUACUACUAAUGAUAUUUCUUUAUCUUUUAGUAAUGAACUAAUUUUUUAAAAUGUAUGAUUGUCUCUCCCAAUAAGUGUCACUCCUGAAAAAAUCUUUAACAUUUUGAUCAUUUUAGGAUCUAGCGAUACUGGAUCAAUGCUUUAUUGGUAUUUCAUGGUUUAGUUUGAAACCAUUUACAUCCUCAUAGAAUACUUAAUAAUGGUUUGGGUCAAAUUUUUCAGUUUAAGCUGGUGAGUCAUUGGCUCGUCGUCCAAGAUUGAUGACAAUCCAUUUUAAUGGGUGGAAAUUAUCUCUAUUACUUAAGAGGGAAGUACCUCAAAAUUAAAAGAAAAAAUAAUAUUAUCUGACAUUUUUAUUUAUUAAGUAUAAUUGUAUAAUAUUUCUAUUCCUAAAAUCAAAUGUAAAACUAAUAAUUUUUUCCUCUAAUAAUGGAGAAGAAUCUAACUAAAAAUUAGUAACAAUUAAUUUACUCUAUAUGAUAUAAUAAUGAUGGUAAUCACACUAUCCACCUUUAAAAAAAUGAGUCUACCCCUUAUGAAAGUUAGUCUAAAUUCAUCAUCCUAAAAUUUUAUCAAAUUAUUAGAAUUCACAAAAUUUUGAACUUUUAUAUUUAGGAAGAAGUGGAAGAAAAAUAUAACAAAACUCCCUCAAAUGUGACUAAAAAUAAUUAUUAGUUAAAUACAAUUUUUUAUUUAACUUUUCAAUUAAAUAUUGACAAAUGUGAUAAAAUAAUUAUUAGUUAAAUAAUAAAUAAUAUAUCAAUAUAAAUUUUAAACAAAAACCAUGAUCAAUGCAGGCACAUAUUUUAAACAUAAUGAAAUUAUAAAAUUAUGACUAAAAAUAAGAUUGUUUCUUUUUUUUUUGUGGUAUAUUUAUUCUCUCUAAAUGUUUAUUAUAAGAUUUAUUUCAUAAUUUUCUUUUCCAACUUAAUUAUUACUUAUUUCAACUAUUAUUUAAAUAUAAUUCUUAUUUAUCCUAUAGUUUUGUUUGACUAUUUACUUAGAAAUAUAUUAGAAAUCCGAGUUUUUAAUCGGCCGCCCACUUUUUUCAUUUGCUGCCCAUUGUUUUUUAUCUAUCACCCAAUGUUUUUUAUCAACCACCAAUCAUCUAAGGUUCAUAAAUAUGUAUUUUGUUUCAUCACAUAUUCACCCCAAUACCUUCACCAUCUCCUCUAUUAAAUCUCCUUAGAGUCUCUUGACUCGAGUGUCAAAUCUUCCCUAAACACUAGCCACAAUAACUUGGUCUACUAGGUCAUGCUUGAAUUGACAAAGCACCACACAAUCGUGAUUCUUAUGAUUCUAACCCAUUAUCGGUACAAGCAAUAAUGUGUAUUUUUCGGAUUCAUAAGUGUUAUUGAUUGCAAUUUGAAUUAUUCAAUCCAUACAAUUCUAACUAAGGGGAGUACAUGUUUAUCAAGAUUGGAGGUCAGUCCGAGAGUCGACAUUUGAGUUUCACCUCGACCUGAUGAUAUAUCAACUUACGCUUGUGUUAACUCAACAAGGAUACCUUGGCUUGAGAGGUAUGCCCCUGCUUGAAGAAGAUGCAAAUUCAUAUUGAUUUAGAAUGUAAAAACAAGACCCAUAUUAACCAUGAUGAAUAAGAAAGCAAAAAGGUAGAAAAAUAAUGACAUUAGGUUAUGGAAACAAUUAAAGGGGAUUAUAAAAGACAUAAAUGGAAUGAGAUAAAAGUGCUUACUUAUGCAAAACAUUGGUGUUAAGGAUUACCUUCUUAUAUUGCAAUGUAGGCAAGACAAGUAUUCUUUAACUUUGGCCAACAUCACUCUUUUAAGAUUCAUAAUGUCCAUCUCUUUCUCUCAGUUCUCUUUAUUAACAUUCUUCUUAUUUUCUUUGUCAUCGUCAAUCUUCUUGUCUUAGUUAUCAUUCUUCUUAUUUUCUUUGUCACUGUCAACCUUCUUGUCACCGUUGUUCUUUAUGAUCAAUAUCAACCUCAUAAUAUGAGAAAACUUAGUGCAAGUGAUUGUAACAAAGUCCUAAUUAUGUUGAGAGUUGAUGUUGACAAAAGAAAGAAUGACAAGAGGGAUGAUAACCAACAGAAUUGAAAUAAAGAGAUGGACAUAAUAAAUCUUAAAGGAAAAAGGUUGGACAAUAUAAAAAAUACUUGAUUUGUCCAUCUUAAAAUGGUAUAUAUGAGACAACCAAUAACACUAAUAGAUAUAAGCACUUCUAUUUUAUUUCCCUUUUUAUCUUUUGUAGUCCCUUUUAAUUUGUUUCUCCUUUAUCUAAUGACAUUAUUUUUUUUUUAUAAACUUUUCUCCAUUUUUAUUGUGUUUUUAUUCAUCUGGAUUAAUUUGUUCUCAUUUUCCAUUCUAUUUGCAUCUUCCUCCAAUAGGUUGUACCUCUUAGAUUGAGGAGUGAAUUUACUGUCUAACAAUGAAUGUCACUUCAUGUAUCAUGAACUUGUGAUGAGUUGAAAAAAAUAUAUUUAAAUUAAAAUUUAUUAUAAAAUAUUUUUCUGACCAAUCAUUACUUAUAGUAUAUAGAACAACACAAAUUAUGGGACAUAAGAUGUGAUCCCUUGAUGUUGAGUACCUCUUGGAAGUUAAGUUAACCUUACAUUGGUAUAUCAUGAGAGCUAGGUGAAACCCAAACAUCAACUCUUUAGGUUGGCCAAGUUAUCAAUUGGGCUGUGAUGUAAACCCACACUAUUCCUUAACUUCCUCUUCAUGAAUGAUGGUGUAUUUCUAUGUACCUAGACCACAUUGUCAAUUCCUUUGAAUUUGAGUAUCCAACUAUCAACUAUGAUGUGUGUCUACUUUGGUCCAGCUCAACAUCCACCAAAAAUAUUCUGCCUCAGCCACCUAGUGCCAGGCC
RNAcentral lists this long non-coding RNA (63684 nucleotides) under Lupinus angustifolius (narrow-leaved blue lupine). RNAcentral's name for it is "long non-coding RNA (LANG_LNC001990)". The record is from RNAcentral. Lineage: Eukaryota; Viridiplantae; Streptophyta; Magnoliopsida; Fabales; Fabaceae.